RNAcentral lists this long non-coding RNA (44432 nucleotides) under Musa acuminata (dwarf banana). Its description in RNAcentral is "long non-coding RNA (MACU_LNC000210)". The record is from RNAcentral. Lineage: Eukaryota; Viridiplantae; Streptophyta; Magnoliopsida; Zingiberales; Musaceae.
AUAUAUAUAUAUAUAUAUAUAUAUAUAUUUAUAUAUAUAUAUAAUAUACUAUAUGCAUUAUUUCCGCCUCUAGGCUGGCGUAGAACCCUGAAUCCAUUUUGGUCCCACGGGCGAAGAAACAAAAGCCUGCUCGAUUUCUUUCCUUCAAAUCUUUCCUGCGAGCUUGCAAUCCCUCUUCUUGUAUUCAGCGGGUUUGAGGAAGUUCUUUUAUUUCUAGGGUUUUGGUCCGAUCAGUCGGUGGUGACCGCGGUGGCGGCUGUGGCGAGAUCCUCUGGAUUUUUGUGAUCAUGAGUGCGGUAAAUAUAACGAACGUCACGGUGCUGGAUAAUCCGACGGCGUUCCUUAGCCCGUUCCAGUUCGAGAUAUCUUACGAGUGCUUGGUUCCUCUGGAAGAUGGUAUGGUUCUCGACCGAAAAAAGAAAAACCUUAGACUUGAACAGGGGAAUGAAAGAUCCUACCUUGACUGUGGCUUCAUUACAAGUUUUGGCUUCGAUGCUUCUUUUGGUAUCAUACUGUUGUUUGUCAUGGAUUGACGAAUGAACUCUUUGAUGUCCUUUGGUUUUUCAUGUUUCUUUUUUGUUUUCUCUGGGUUCAAAGUGAAGGAUGAUUAGGGUUUAUAGAAAGAGCUUCACUUGAAACCGUAUAAUGGGUGUUGUAGUUGAACUUUGAGAUUUAGCUGAUGCUGAAUGUGGAAAUGGAGUGAGAAGAAAGAGGGAGGAGAAUCUAGGUAUUUUAUUUCGCUGUAUGUAUAUUGCAGAGUUCCCAACUUUGUUGUUUUUCUUAGAUUUACAGUGAUUUCCGGAUGUGACACAAGAGGGCAAGGUAGGAAGGAGGUGUUGGUAUAUCAAUGAUAAAGGAACGUGUAAAUUAUUUUCUUGUUAAUGCAAUUAAGGAAUCAUGAAGAUAUUAUGCUUCACAGAGGUCAAUUGUUAUCAUGCAUUCCAAGCAUGAUUUUGACAUAUUACGUAACUAUUCCUAUCGUCAAGCGGUCAUUUCCUUAUUUUACAUUUUUCUUUAAAAAAAUCCUCCUAAUGUAUGGAGCCAUGAGAUGUUUUUCUCAGAUUAUUGUAUUGGUUUAAAAAUAUCUUUUAGUGCAUGGUUAUGUGGUGGCUCUUAUAGGUUAGAGCAAAAUACCUACUCUGGAUACUAGUAGGUUUUAUAUGCAUGGUAAAAUUUCAACUUCAUUAUGGUGGUGUUCAGAUUUCCCCCUAUUCCUAAAUUAAGCUUGUAAGAUAGAAUUGAUAGGUACUUUGUACAAAACUUACAGGAAACUGAAAAACACACCUAAGAAGGCUCCUGCUGUUUGAUGUGUGUGAUUAGAUGUUGUGAAUAAGUUUAAGCUAUAACCAACAAACCAACAUAGGCUAUGAUAAGAAACUUUAUCCCAUCUUUGUGUGCCAUUAAUGCAUCCUACUAGAGUUUCUUUUUUAUGUCUGAAUCAGUGGACUUCAAGCUUUCAAAACAAAAGAAUGAUGGUUUGAUGCAUCAAACUCUGCCAAUGCAUCAUUUAGCAGGGAGGGUCAACAUGCAACGUCAUUAAUGCAAUUAUGCAAGUAGGGAUGUUAUUUUCAUGACUUAAGCUCUGGUCACUUAAGUCGUAAAUGAGUAACAUCACCAUAAUGCCAAAGCUUGCCCUCUCAAAUACAUUUGAAGCUUUUGACAUAAUGCAAUCAACAAAACCAUUGUUUUAAUAUAUAUCACCGGGAGUUGAAAGAGUGAAGGUUUGUUAGUCUCAUUAUGCUUUUCUAACAGUUUGCACUUUGUCUACCGUUAUUAUAAGGUCCUGUUGUACUUUCCGUACCACAUGAACCCUUUGCAUAUUCAUACUAACAAACGAGCUUAUUGAACAUAAGAUUGAAGCAGAACACAUGACAUUAGAGAAAGAUUUUGGUGAGAUCAUGUUGUCGUUGAAUGGUAAAUAAGAAACUCAACAAUAAUUAUAUUUUACGCAUUAAAAUAUCAAAUUGAUUCAGUUUGACUUUUGUUAUACAGUUUAAAGUACAUUAGUCAUAUGGUUCAAUCGUUCUGAUACUAUAUUGAUAGUUUAUAAUUAACAUCAAUAGUUAUGAGUAAGAGUAACCAUCUAGUUGUUAUCAAUUUCUAUAGCUUGCAAGGUGCUAGAUAAAAGUUUCUUACUAUUUUGGAGUUCAAAAUUAUUGUAGGUCAGAAAAUUGCAUUCUGGUAGUGGUUGUGGACAAUCUGACAUAUAUUAUCUGAAUUAAACACUGCUAAUUAUUGUUAUUUUUCUCACUAUUCGGUGAUGGAAUUCAGAUUAGUUUCUUAUUUUUCUCACAUGUUGUCAAUGACUAGUUAUUUACUUGUCUAUCAUGUUCAGAAUCAAUAGUUUUGUCAAUCUCUGCCUCGAUUACCUGAUUAUAUCAAUUGUGCCAUGUUCUACACCUAGUUGCUCAAGUAGUCUGAGUGGUAUUUAUCCAUUGAUCCCAAGAUUCUGAGUGACUUUUGUUUCACAACUAAUAGUGACUGACAGAAUUGGCUUGGCUCCCCUUCUAAGAAAAGUUGAAUGUGGCAUUGAUCAUGGUCAUUAACGCCUUGGUGACUAUUGCAAUAAAAAAAAUGGCCAUGGUGACCUUUUCAAUAGGAAAUUGGUGCCACAUGGAUACAGGCACAAGCCCCAGCUAGUGGAAAGUCUGUGAUCAAUUCAGUUUUGAUGGUCAGUGCAGCAGUUCAGGUUGCAUAACAUAGAAUGAAAGCGGUCUUGGGAACCCUUCAAUGUGGUGAUUCUUAAUAAAAUGGGUAGCUAAGAUGUGAACAUUUGUGUUAGUGACUUUUCCAAAAGCUAAAGUUUUGGUAAUUUCUAGCAUUCUUGAUCAAGCAUGUCGUUAUUUUAAUAUCAAUCUUCGUAUCUUGAGUGGGUGUUGUAUACGCACUUUACUUCUGAUAUCCUGAUUUUUUUUUUCCUUAGCAUCAGCAUUAAUAAUUAGUUUCUUGCUCAACUCUUCAGAUUUGGAGUGGAAACUCAUAUACGUUGGAUCAGCAGAAGAUGAAACUUAUGACCAGCUGCUUGAGAGUGUGCUUGUUGGUCCUGUCAAUGUUGGCAAUUAUCGCUUUGUUUUCCAGGCAAUUUCUGAGACUGAACUAAAAGUAGAGUGGUUCGUGCACAUGAUUUAAGAAAGUGACUUACUCCUUGUAUUCCAACUUUCAGGCAGAUCCACCAGAUCCAACCAAGAUUCGUGAAGAAGACAUCAUAGGCGUCACCGUGCUACUGUUGACAUGCUCCUACAUGGGGCAGGAGUUCAUCAGAGUGGGCUACUACGUGAACAACGACUACGAUGAUGAGCAGCUCAGAGAAGAACCUCCUCCGACAGUUUUGAUCGACAGAGUUCAGCGGAAUAUCUUGGCCGACAAGCCUCGUGUGACAAAAUUUCCCAUCAACUUCCAUCCUGACCCUAGCGAAAACGGAGGGCAGCAACAGCAGCCGCCUGUGUCACCCGAAAACCGUACCGGCGAGGAACCACAGUCUGUCCAGCAACCGAAGUGUUAGUUUCAUGUGUGUAGAUUGUCAACAGCUUCAAGGUGUAGUCAUCUGGCCGAUGUAAUUGGCUCACCUGAGAGUGUCUGUGUACCAUCAAAUGGUUUUUGUGGAUGGCUAUGGUUCUUGUGGCUGAUGGAACUCGGAUUAAGCUCUUGACUCGAGCCACGUUUCUAAUGUGAUUUGAGGAGAUGCCUGCAGCCGUGGAAGAAGCUGCUCAUUUUGUAUCCUGAUCUGUACUGUAUUUAUUAUGCAAAUUAUGGUCUUCUCUGAUUUUGAUCAGAUCCCAGUUCGUAUUGACAGAUUCAUCCGACCACUUUGACUUGUGUGGCAGUGAAUUGUAUACGAUCAGCUUACUCUCACGCAACCAUGUUUUGUCUUGGAAAACUUGGAAGUCAAUGCAAUCUUAUCUUCAUAUAUAUAUAUAUAUAUAUAUAUAUGAUUUAUUGAUAAAUGAUUUUGUUCAUGACUAUAUUCAUAUCAUGCGUUUAUUAGCAAUGAAAUUGAAUAUUUUAGAAAGUUUGAUCUGUUUAAAUUAGAUCAGACUAAUUAUAUAUUAUUUUCUAUAAUUAGUUAUCUUUAGUAUUUCGAUUUAUUUUUAAAAUAAUAUUGAGUUAUUUAUUUAUUUUUAAUUUUAUAUAAAGAUACUAAUAUUUUUUUUAUGAGUAUAAAAAAUUUAAUAUAAUUUUUAAAAUUAUAAAAAUUAAAAUACUAAAGAUAGGGAUAAUAUGUAAUUAGUCAAACCUUGUCACACCACUUGCCACGUGUUUUUCUGCAUGCCAGCCGGUCAGACUGCAUUCCCCCCACACGUUUCAUCAUCCCUACCCUUUCCUCCGCCACCUUCCCCUCCUAAUAAGACACUCUCCUCAGCCCCCGGCUGGAGAAUAAGGUAUUUUCCACCAGCUUCCAUGGCGGAGUGGCAGCCAGCCGGCCCAUGGACAGUGUCGACGCGCCACCAGUGGUCCGCCCCCUUCACCACCUCCGGCGGGCCAAGCCUCCUCCGCCGGCUCCAGGGCCACGCACCCAGCUCCAACCAGGUCGUCGGCUUCCUCACCCUCGUCAUCUCCGGCUGCAUCCUCCUCGUCCUCGCCGGCCUCACCCUCGCCGGCGCCGUCCUGGGCCUCACCUUCUUCGGCCCCAUCGUCCUCUUGACGAGCCCGAUGUGGGUCCCGGUAGGUUUCGUGAUGUUUGUCGUGUCCGCCGCCGUCCUCUCCGCGUGCGGGUUCGGCGUGGCGGCCCUGGCGGGCGCCUCGUGGCUGUACAACUACUUCAUGGGGCGGCAGCCGGCCGGAUCUGACCGGGUGGACUGCGCACGCAGCCGAAUCGCUGACGGGCCGAGCGACGUGACGGACUACGCGAGGGAGCACGGUGGGUACGCGAGGAGCCGGGUGAAGGACGCGGCGCCGGGGGCUUGAGAGUAGCCGAAGGCGCGCUCGUUCGUGCUUCUCGGCGUGUGGUUCGUGUUUGGUGUGGCGUUGACUGGUCUUUGUAUUGUCUUUGUCGUCUCUUCUUUCUUUGGUUUCAACGAUGGGGUUUAGCUUUUAAUGAUGACGAAUGUUAUUGGGUUUAUGUUCGAAGACUGCUUAAAAGGUUUCGAUUGUGCAUUUGGUUUGCAAUUUUAGGGAGUAAUUUAUAUCGAAUUAAUUGAUUUUUGUCUCAACCACGUGAAAUUAACUCUCAUCGUAAAAAUCAAACAUGGUUUUAAUUUUUUUUAAUUUAUUUAUUGUCUUUUUAAGAUAAUUUUAUGGGUGUUUUUAUGUCAAAUUUCACAUGUUUUCAUGUUAGAUGUAAAAUCGAGUGUAUUUUUGUCAAAUUAUUUUAAACUUUCAUAGUAUAAAUUAAAUAUAAUAUUUUUUUUUGAUAUUUUAAUAUUUUAAAAUGAUUUUAGAGUUGAAUAUAUAUGCAUUUCAGUUUAUUUUUAAAUAAAUAUAUAACAUGAGUGUCUUUUAGUAUAUUUUCAAACAUAUAAUAUGAAAUAUUUUCUAAUAAUUUGGAGAUCAAUGAGUCAAAUAUAAUCUUUAUUUUAUUUUUAUUUUUUUAUUAUGGAAUGAUUUUUUUUGCAUUUGUUAUGUUUUAGUUUCAAUCUAUAAUCUUUUAGUGCAUUUUAAUUUAUUGUUUGGUAUCACGAUAUAAAUUUCUCAAAACCAUGUACAAUCUUCGUUUUGUUAACACGCAUUCCAAUAUUAUUUUUAUUUUUAUUUUUUUUAUGAAAUUAGAUAUCGUGGAUUAUAUAUUUAGACCAUAUAAAUUUUUUGUAAGAUUAUAUAUAUAUAUAUGUACUUAUUAAUUGAAGUAAUAUAUAUAUAUAUAUAGACUUUUAAUAAAUAUUAAAUAUGUUAGAAGGAUACAUUUGUUAUAUAUUAUUUAAUAAUUUAUAUAUAUUAUUUAUCAAACACUCAAAUAGUUUAUUUGAAUCGCUUUACACCAUGUGAAAAUAUAUAUGAUAUAAAUAUUUAAUUUAAUUUUUUUAUUUUAUGAUGAUUUUGAUAUAAAUUUAUAAAUGAUACGAGAAGGGAUUAUGUAAGAGUAUAAGAAUAAAAAAGAUGGUUGAUAUAAAUUUUAUUUUAUGAUGGUUGAAUUUAAUCAUCAUAACAAAAUAUUGUAUGAUGACUAUUCAUUAGGAGGAGGAGAGGGAAGAAAGAUGAAAUAAGAGAAAAAAUAAAUGGUAUAAAACUGAAGAAGAUAUUAUUUACACUAAAGAUAUGUAAUAUCGUAUCGUACUGAUGUUUCGAGGUUGGUUCAAUACGGAACGUAUAUAAAGAUGAAGAAGAUAUUACCUACACUAAAGGUAUGCAAUAUCGUAUCGUACCGAUAUUUCGAGGUUGGUUCAGUACGAAACGUAUCGAGCAGUACACCAGAAUGUACUAAGCGGUACACCUAAUUUUAAAUAUUUUUUUUCUUUAUUAUUAGCACUACUACAAUGUGACACUAUAAUACGCUAGUAUAUUAGCGAUAUAUGUAUCGAUAUACCAUCAGACCGAUACAUACCGUCCAUACCGAAUGGUACCAUUCAAAAUUACAUGCUUACACUUAAACUCUACCGAUCAUGUAAUAAAGUCAAAAAACCAAAAACGAACCUAUAAGCACUUAUCCCCAUUGAUGCAAAAAAGGCCCUCAUAAAUUCCAGAAGGCCGCUAUCCUAUAAGAAGCAAUCAUAGGGACUUUUUUGGUAAGUCGCCUACCCGAUCCUUAAUUCAAAACCCUAAUUCCGAAGCCCAACCCACCCCCGCCUCUUGCCCCAUUUCUCUCCCUGCCGGCGCCCUCCCCGUGCCGACGACCGACGUCUGCAAGUAAGAGUCUUUGAUUCCAUCAGACUUUAGGCGAAAGUGGAACCUUGUUUUUCCUUUCUUUUCCGAUGUUGGGUUGUGAUUCGUUUUGAUUUGUACCGGGAAUGCAUGAAGGAAGGAAAGAAGCUAUGAAGGUGUUCCAGGUGAACGGGAGCACUACCCUCUCCCUCGCUCUUUUCACCGACGUCACCAAUAGCAGGUCUUCUUUUCUUUUCUUUUCUCUUCGUCUUUACUAAUCUUGCCUCGUGCAAACAGUAUUACAUCUAUUUGAAACUUCUUCAAUAUCCCGACGCAAUUAACUGCAGAACUCCUUUCUUUUAAGCUACACAUUCACUUCAGUUUGCUAAUUUUUAAGAGGGAAAAGAACAAGAAACAUCUUUUUUAUUGUAAUAUCUGAAUAAGCUUUAAAUGGGGGAGCUUCGAGGAUCUAUUGUGCAUUACGAUCAAUUAGGAAGCAUGAGUAGACUGGCAGAAGUUGUUCUAAUAGAUGCAUAUUCAAUAUGUCAUGUUGUUUCUUACUGUGGAGUUGCUCCCUAUCUCAUUGACCUGCGAUGUAUGAGCAACCAAAGAUUUGUGAUUAACGGGCCUACUUAUAAAGAGAAAAGAAAUUUGAUAGUUCAGAAUGAUGGGGUAGGCUUGCUUAGAUAGAAAAGUUUCCAUACCAUGGGUAACUUAAUAUAAUGUUGCCUUAGUUCAGACUUAAAUGUGGAUCGAUGUGACUCUGGUCUUACCAAUAACGAAAAAAAUAUAAUAAUGCAACAAUACUCUACCUUCUGCAGAACCUUAUGACAGGCCAAGUUCAACUUGUUUGGGUCCUAAUGACGCUUCAUCAAAUACACUAAAUGCUAGGGAUCAGGAUUAGAGUGCUAGCCUUAUUAGCAAUUGUUUUAUUGGAAGGGGUUUCAUUGAAACACUGUACGUUUUACAUUCUAUUUAUUCAUUUUCAGGGAAGUAAUAUGUGUGAGUCUUUUGUGCACUGCACAAUCAGAAUGUUGAACUUGACGAUAGAACAAUACGGUCUUGAGAUUUACGUAGACGAAUAUUUUUGGAGCUCAUGCUUCUCAUGUUAGAUGAGUGCUAAUGUUUGACUGAAAGGCAUAUUCAUGGGCGUUCUAAUGAUUCUUAUGCUGGGUAACUUCUGUAUGAUUUUACUUAUUUCGUUUUAUAUGGUCAUAAAUUUCUCAACAAUAUUUUUUUAAGUUUCAAUUUUUAUGCUGUCAUUAAAAUGAGGAACUUAUAACCCUUUUCAGUAUUGGCAUCAACUAGUUUGUCUGGUGUGGACAUUGUUUUGAAAUUUAUUAUACGUAUAUUCCUCUCUGGUUAAAUGAAGCUUCUCUGGUUACAAAUAACUUUGUGCUAAAAUCUGGUUUUGAAAUUUAUUAUACGUAUAUUUCUUCAUAUUGUGUUGAUGUUUUAUAUAAUUUUCCUCUAUCGAUAGCAUGAUUCAUUGCAAAAGAACAUUGAGUGACAUGCAUGGAAAUGCUCUACGUAACUGAAGGUGGGGAAGACAUUUACUUUUUGACCAAACUUUUCAGGCAACUUCUGGACUCUGUGCAGACUGGAAAACUGGAACCAGAAGUAGCACUGCUCAAUGCAUCACUAGUAUGUUCCUCUCCUCUUCUGGUUAAAUGAAGCUUCUCUGGUUACAAAUAACUUUGUGCUAAAAUCUGGUUUUCAUUGCAUACAAAAUUUUCUCAUAUCACAUAACUUUAUGCACAGUAAGUCUUCUUGCUGUCAUAUAUUUGAUGUUGCUUAUGCCGUCUAAUCUACAUGGAUUCCUCUUUCAUUUUAUUUUUAACUUGGGAGUGAUUGCAACUCUGGCAUGAAAAAUUGAUAUCCUUUUCGUUUGAACCUAUUGUUUAUACAGAUACCAGAUGUUUUCCCCAUUCUAGCUGCAGCUCAUAAGGCACUUGUAUCCAAAUCAAGGGAAUCACUAACAACACGUACUCUUCAUUCUGAGCUUAUUUAUAACUACUCCGGAUCUAAACAUGUAAAUGUCUAAUAUUCUAGAUCAACUUUCUUUGUUUUACCUAUGAUGUUCGCAUAACAAUUCUUCAAUGUACUUUUUGCUAGAUAACUGAAUCAUUAAAGAGAUGUGGAAUUUCUGAUGACACAACCUAUGUUCUUGCAGCUCGUUUUGCUGCAUCUCAUGAUGAGGUAUACAAUUUAGCAUCUAUGGUUUCUGUUGGUUUUAUAGAAUCACUUAAUCGACAGCUAACCUUCUUGAGGAGGUUGUUAAGUAGCAUUUGUGGCUCAAGUAUUUACUAUAUUCCAUCCUACUAAGCUUUUUUAAUGCAUCUAUUUUGUAUAAAGAGGCUACAUAGUACAUACUGAUUCUGCCAUUUUAAUACUUUGGAAAAUAAAAAUCGGGUUUUGUCUACAACUUGCAAUGUCCUUAUUUAUUUUUUUUUAGGUGGUCUCAUAACCUGAGAUCCAUUGUGUUUGCAAUUUCUGUUCAUUCUGACAUUUUUUUCUGUUGCAACCAACAGGAAGGCUAUUAUUUCAAGUUGGACAUUAGAUGCUAAGUUGUUUUCAAUCAACCUGACAUGCAUCAAGUUUAUGCUAAACAUGCAUUUAUAUUACAUAGAAAGAAGAUCUAUGCUGAUGCCAUUUUGAAGAAAACUUUUGUAAAUUAUCUAAUUCCUUUGUUUGCUUUUGAUUGUUUAAUAGCAUUUGCCGUAUGCUUGCAAUCUAUUGAUUAAUGAGCUGUUUUUCCCCCAAAAAAAAAAUGAAAAAAAUGAACGGUGAGGUCUUACUAUGAUAUUUAGAAUUCAUCCCCCAUUUAUCCUGUAGUCCCUUUCCACUUUCACAAUUCUUCAAAAUCAUAAACAAUCAUGGUGUUAAAGUUUGGUUGAUGAUUCAAACUCUGAAAUGGACCAUUUAAAUGUUGUCAACCAAUAACUAUUUUCUUUUGAUAAUUAAAAUGAUAGCUUUACACAAAAUGACAUAAAUAGCAAUGAUUUUAUUGAGUUAUGACAUAAAAGGUAUUCAUUGUACUUAGAUGAAAGAUGUGGUGAAGCUUAUAAAGGGCAAAGAGAUUGAUCUGUUAGAGUUGGAAGGGAGAGCCAACAAUGCACAGAUCCAAAAGGUAUAUAUUUCAUUCUUGGUUAAGUCCAUCACACCAGUACCAUUCUCACUACAAAUAAAUGUUGACUGUGCUCUUUACCCUUGUUUUCUAUUCCCCAGCAUUAUAAGAUAACCCCUCAGGAAUUAGCAAUAUCUUCGCUAUCUGAUGCAAUCGUCUGUAGGAUUGCAGCUCGAGAUGCCUUGUAAGGCAUUAUCAACAUAAGUGGCACAUUGUUCUUCAUCUUCAAUUUUUUUUUGUUAUUCUCCAUGUGCUCUUGAACCAAAAAAAAAAAUGCAAUAUUAUGAAUAUCAGUCCCUGAAUUCUAGCCUUUUUGUCUUGACUUGUGGACUGUGGUUCUCUAAAGUUCUUUUGUAAUUGUAUGAGAUUCUGUCCCCAAGAAAGGUUUAAUUUGAUUUUGGAUCUGAAUAUGAUACAAGAUGCACUUGUCUUUCCACUGGCAGCACACAAGACCUUGGACUCUAGAAAUUCUUUGCAGGUUGUCUCCAAACAUGAUUUUUCAGAGAUGGGCUUUCUUCAGAUAUCUCAGGCAGGGUAUGAUAAAAAUGUAAGUGGUUGUGAGGCAAAUGUUAGAGAAUUAAGAUGGUGAGCAGAAACUGAACUUUCUUCAUGUCUAAAGAAAUGAAAUCAUGGGCCACACAUUUUGUAUUUCCAUGUUCUUGUUAUGUAUCUGUAUACAUUAGAGGAGUUGGAUUUGCUGUAGAUCUUUAUUUCUCAUGUUUCAUGUCAAUUAAGAUUCAGUUCCUGCUGGAACUGUUCGUGGUCUUUCUCUCUCUACAUAUAUAUAUAGUGUUAAUUGUCAUUAUAUUCAAAUAAAAAAUGACAUUGAUCUCCGCAUCACAACACCACACCACGUGGUGGCGAUGAGAGCCGAAUCAUUCAAAUGUGUUGUUAGCGAUGGCGACGAAGGAUGGGGACCUCCAACGUUCGAGUCUUUUGUAAUGCAGCGGGCCGCCGGCGCUUUGACUGCGUGGCAGCGUUUCCUUUGCCUCACCCCACCGCUGUCACCCGAGGACGGAGGGACAGCGGCAGCCGCAGUGUGAAGGCUCGAAGCGACACGUUCUCCAUCUCCCACAUGUCGGCACGUGCUUUGAGUAGCUUUCGGCUGUUCCUUGCCGACACGCGACACGGCUUAGCCUUCGUCAUCAGCCACCGUCAAUCUUCAUUAAUUAUUGCUAAAGAUGGAUUGCUUGAUGCCGUGUUGGCGUGUGAUUGGCCCCGUCACAUGGCCCGCCGUGUUGCGUGUACGACUGCCGCCAAUGCAUCAUGUGUAUGCGACGUCCAAAGCGCGGUAAUCAAAUCUCGACUGGUAAUUAAAUAGGAUUUAUGGCUAUAAAACAUGAUUUUAUUGUCUUCGAAACAGAUAUCCACUUCCUCAAAUCAAUUAAAUUAAGAGAAGCUUAAGUGGAAACAAAAACAAUUAAUUAAUAACCCAAACUCUAGGAAUAAUAAUAAUAAUAAUUAUUAUUAAAUAAUAUUGAAUUAAUAAUUCUCAUGUGUCUUCUAUUUAAUGACACGUCUUGCCGACCGUUGGGUCUCUCUGACGCUCCGUUUCUCUACUCUCUUCUUCCUUCCUUGCCCUCCUCGUGCCCGGCGCAUCUUUUUGGCCAUCGCUUCCAUCCAUCACCCGAAAACCCACUCUUUCUUUUGCUUGCCUUAACCCGAAGCACAAAGAAUCCAACCCUACCUGACAACUCUCUCUCUCUUUCUCUCUAGUGUUCUCCAAUAUUCUGACGGUAAAGGUCUUUUAGGGGUUCUCAACAAAUCUGAGUGGUGGUCGGGAAGGGAUGAGUCGCUGAUUGCUUGUUGCUUGGUUCGGUCGGCGUUGAUGCUGCUCCUCUAAAGGUAAUUUAUGGCAAUGGCUGCGCUUUUCUUUUCUUUUUUUUCCUUUCUUUCUUUUACCUUUUUAUUUAUUGGAGAAGGAAGAACAAAUCUCAGCGUCUUUUUCUUUCUUCUCCUCUUUUAAAGAUCGAAUCUUUUCUUGCGUUGGAUCAGUAUUUUGUUGUUCGCGUUGUCUUGUGAAGAGUCUAGUUUCUUUGUGUUGGUUUACCCCCCGGCGGCCUGCCAUGGUUGAAAUAUAAUCCGCGGAUGGAUGGAAGAAGAGAGUUUUUGUCGACUUAUGCAGUUCAUGUAUGGGAAAAGGUCGUUUCUUUUUCUCUGUUUGAUUUGUUUUCUGGAGGUUUGGGUUUGUAAGUGCAGGUGGUCGUCCUGGUGGGUGUCUGCUGAGAACUCCUACUACUUCAUACCGUUGAGCUGGUCGAUAUCAGAAGUAGGUCGGAUGGAAUUUCGAGAUUUAGAUGAGCUAAACUUCUCUUACGGCAAAAGUGUCCCUUCUACUACUUCAAGAAUCGAUAGUAUGCGAAGUGAAAAGAUGAUAUAUUUUGGCGUCCGAUGAGUUAAAUGCUAAACAACUUAAAACUCCUCUGUUGAUGUAGCAUUAGAACUUUAGUAGAUUAAUUUGGGUCAAUAUGGAAAAAUAGACCUCUCUAUCCGUAUCUUGGGUCUUCUAAGUUAGUGUAAAUUAAGAAAGACCAACUUAUUGCUACCUGAAAGUUUCCUAGAAUUAAGCAGAAGUUGAGCAAAAAUCCUAAAGACCCAUAUGAUUUUGAUUGACCAAUUUAGGGUCUAAUUUUCUUAUGCUUCCCCUCAUUUCCGAGUGCUUGGUCAAGCAUUAGAGCUCUAAAGUUCGUCUAAACCAACUAUUAUAUGUGGCCUAGUUGUUCCAUUGAUCUUGAUCAACUAUUUCCAAGACUUGUGUCAUUUAAACAUGGAUUUGCAUUUCAGCUUGAUAAACUCAGCAAGGAAAAAGAUCAUGAAAUGUCUGAGAAGUCCUUGGAACAUUGACCAAUAAAUUUGAUCAUCUGCUUAUUGUAAUUAUUUAAUUAUUUGGACCUCUUGAUUGGAUCUAUGCAAAUAAUAUUUUUCAAUCGCUAGACACCAAGGUAUUUGAUAUAGUAUUGAAUUAAUUAUUUUUGUUUUCUCUAUGCAAGAUUCCUGUGCUCCCUAUCACAGUUUGACUACAAUGAUCUUGUCUGCUUUGUUGUUAAAAGUCACUGUUGAUGCUGUUUUUGCCACCUAAAAUGUUCUUCUUUCUACUUGUCACAGAUUUGAACACGUUUGGUCAUCUAAAAUUAUCACCAACAUAGACAAUAAGGUUAACAUGAUGUUAUUUAUAAUGCAAGUUCGUUAAAUUGGAAGCCACAUGAUGUCGAUAACUGAUCACCAAAAGUUUUGAAGUGAUUUGAUUGUGUCAGCAGCUCAAACCUAAACAUAAUAUGACUCAGUAGCAAAAAAAACUAUCUCUAGAUCACAUUAAGAGUUUCUUGAAACUAUAGUGCAAGAAAAAUUUCAGAGGCUGAUAAUUAUGCUGUUCUAGGUUUAGCUAACUUAUCUUAUUGAGUUUUGACAUUCUGGAUAUGCUUCUUAAAUGUUAAACAUGGAAGAUCUUUGUAUUGGCGACUUUUUCUCUACAUCAUUGUUGUCUCAUCUCUAUGAAAGAUUGCUUUCUUUUUUUGUUUCUAUUUAUGCUAAGAUUUAUGAGUACAUAAUACUACUAUCUGAUCUUUUGCAGGGUCGAUACAUAGAGGCGAAUCACUAUUCUAUAAGCGACAAUUAUGGCUACACUUACUGACAUAGGGCUUGCUGCAGCCAUCAACAUACUUGUUGCCAUUGCAUUCUUAGUAGCAUUUGCUAUACUAAGACUUCAACCAAUAAAUGACAGAGUUUACUUUCCAAAGUGGUAUCUUAAAGGUGUAAGAAGCAGUCCAACAUGCUCAGGGGCAUUUGUCCGCAAGUUUGUGAACUUAAAUUUGAGUUCAUAUUUGAGAUUUCUGGGAUGGAUGCCAGCUGCUCUCAGGAUGCCAGAGCCAGAGCUGAUAAACCAUGCAGGACUUGAUUCUGUUGUAUAUUUACGCAUAUACUUGAUAGGGUAUUCUACUUGUCUUUCAUUAAUCUAUUCUUCUUCUUUUUCUCUUUUAUGUAUGUACUGCAUUCAUGAAUUUGUUUAUUUUGUAUCUUAGUUGGUGUAAGAGGGUAAUGUGGAGUCUGAAUAAAUUAUCCUCGACAAACACUGGUAAUGCUACUUGGUAAAUGGUGUUACCUAGAAUUAGAUGAAAGGGUGGUGAUAUAUGAUAAAUUAUUUUAUUUAUUUAAGGCUAAUUCUUUACUUCUCUAUCUGUGCAACUCUAUCCUCUAUAAGCAGGAACUUGAUCAUCUAAUUUAGAAUUUGGGCAAUCAUCUAGCAAGACAUAGAAAGAAGCUGAAGCUUCGAGUAGUUGCCUGCUUGAUCUGAUUGGGAUAUGUAUGCUUCUUAUGGUCAGGAUUUUUAAAACUUUUUGCAAUGCUCUUGGUGAAAUUGAUAGACUUGAGUUUGCAUUUAGAUAAUAUAGUGGGAGAGAAAAGAUAAAACAGUGCAACAAGUUUAAAAGAAAAAAAAUGGUGAUAAAAAGAUUAACAAUAAAAAAUGGAGAGCUUUCUACAAUACUGGGAUUAGUUUCACCAUUCACCUUCCUUUCGAACUUGAUAUUUCAAUGUAUAGACAUGUCACUAAGUGGCAACAAUUAAGAAGUUUUUGCUUAUAUCAGAAAAACAAGGUGUGGUGCUUCAUGUUUGCAAUAUUGCAUGGUUAAUUGUUCUCCAUCUAGUGGUAACUUUGCAUCUUAAUUUUCUUGACCUUUCUUUUGUAUUGGGAUUAGUUCAGUUAUGUUCCCUAAGAAUUAUCAAAUUAUUUUUUAUCUACAAAUAAUUGAUCUCUUGGAUUUGCUUUUUCUACUAGACUUAAAAUCUUCGUUCCAAUGGCAAUCCUAGCAUUUGCAGUCUUGGUGCCAAUCAACUGGACAAACACUGAUACCUUGAAAAAUUCUGAAGUGGAGUUCAGUAACAUAGACAAACUUUCUAUUUCAAAUAUUCCUUUGAGUUCACAGAGGUAAGCUGUCACAAAUUUAAUAUUAUUUAUAACUACACCGCCUACUGGUUGAACUAAUUACUAGUUUCUGCUUAUCCCCUUUCUUAUAAUACUAGUUGUAAAGUUGCUGAAACUUGACCUAUUUUGAGAUCAUGUUUAUCAAUCAUUUUUAAAUAUGGCUGAAACUUGAAACUAAUUUGACUAUUGGGUAUAUACGACCGUUUGGUGAUUGGUAUGCUCUUGCUAUUUGCUUCUUGGUUUUUGUUAUAUCUCCACCUAACCAAAGAGUCAUUGUCAUAAUGAAAAUAAGUCAUUUUCAUCAUAUGCUGAAGAAAGAUAGUUACUUAAAGAUGAUACUUCUGAUGGUAAGCACAUACUUUUUAAAUAGAUUUUAACUUCUUUAUUGGAAACUAUGUCUUUUUUAUUAUUUAGGACCGCUAAACUUGUUUGAAUCAGUAGAUUGUGGUACCAAUAGAUAUCUGGAUUUGAUGUUCAAAUAUUACUUCACAGGACUUCAAUUCUUUGUGUGGUGCUAUCUUUACAUGUAUUCUUGCAGAAUCUGCAUGUUUCUCUGUUUUUUGGGUGUGAUUUAGCACACAAGUGAAUAAUGUAACAAUGCAUAAUUCUCUUCUGAUGCUCCUAGAUGAUGCUUUCUUCUCAGUUAUUUUCUGGUGAGAUUCUGGUUUUUCAUUUAAAUUUAAAGAUAUUUUCGUUUAUUUUUUCUCAUUUGAUGAUGGAGUAUGACCAUUAUAUUUUUUCAUUUUAAAUUGAAACCAAAUUAUAAAAUUUAAUUCAAUGAUGAAAUUGAAAUUUUAUCAUAUUUGAGCCUAAAAUGAUUUGUUUUACCUAUCAAAGUUGAACAUUGCUGGUAGAUUUAUUUACGAUCAAGGUUCAUCGUACCGUGAUAUAUUGCCUAGUAUGGGUUGUAUGUACCAGUCCGAUAGGGGACCAGUAUGAAUGGUACAUACCAGUUUGUCGGUAUGCCCUAUCAUAUCACGGUAUGUUGGUACGGUUCAGUAUGUACCUUAUCGAUGAGCGAUUAGUACACCAGUACGGACUGGUAAGGCGAACCAUAUUUAUGACCUUUGGUUACAUAUGUUUCUACACACGGGAUGCAUUUUUAAAAUUUCUCUUACCUUGUGUGGUUCUCUUAGUCAUUUCUACAUUUUAUUUUGUUCAUUGAAUCAGCCAAUUGUUGUAGGUUUUGCACCCUGUUGAAAAACAAUGUUUAUGAGUGUGUAACUGUUUCUUUUUAUUGUAGGUUCUGGGCUCAUUUAGUUAUGGCAUAUAUCUUUACCUCCUGGACAUGCUAUGUCUUGUUUAAGGAGUACGAAAUUGUUGCAUCAAUGAGGUUGCAUUUUCUUGCAUCUGAGAAACGCCGUCCUGAUCAGUUUACAGUAAGCUUAAUUUUAGUCUUUUUAAAAUGAUGUUGAGAGAAAUCUUACCAAAAGUUUGUUUGAUGUCAUGUUUGUGAAUUUGGAAAAAAGCUGCUAGAACUUUCUUCUUUUCCUCAAUGCAAUAUGGAAUGAAUCUAAUUUCUUAUGUUCACUAUGCCCACUGCAAUCUAAAUCUCCUAGAUGAACAUGAACGAUUUUUAUGUAUGCAAUUUUAUAUUUAUUUGCUGAAAAAUUAAAUAAUUAUAUGUUUGGAGUUCAAGAAUGACGUUUUACAUUUAUAUAAAAUUAGGAGAAAAAUGGAAAGUUUAUAUUGUAGCCUCAUUUGUUGAUCUUUAUAUGCAAAAAGAAGACAAUUUGUUAUCUGUUGACAACUCUUUUACCAUGGUUUGGUCAUUGGUGUAUGAAAAUGUGUUGCCUCUAUUGGGCUGGAUGUAUCUGUUCAACUAGGAAUCACCAUGGGGACUGCUUGAUUUUGGGGAACACCACAAGUUUCCGACCAUGUGGGCUAGUUUUGGUUUAAACCAAUUGAAAGGAUUCUAUCUAGUAUUAGUCAAAGUCAAUCAAAAUAUUUAGAGAUCUCCAACUCAAAUUUCUAUGUUCUAAUUGCUAAUCAUGAAUUCCACCCUAUGACACCCCUCUUUCUCUCUUACCUUUUGCCUCUACCUCCUUCCCACUAAUGUUACAUUAUGUUGAAUAUAUUUGGCCACAACUUGCAACUCAAUGAUUGGUGGUCUUGACAUUUUCCUACCAGUUCAGUACUGGAAUGUGUGCUGAUGGUACCAACAUGCAUCAGUUUGACCUGGAAAAAUGUGAAGUUUAGGGCUGAAACACACAUUUAAUAAUAGAGGCAUUGCCACUAUUGGAGAUGAAUUUGAUUUGAAAUAUACAAAUCAUAGUGGCAUUAGGAUGUAAUUUUAGGAUGACCAACACACUGCACUCCUCAAUGGCUUAGUAGGAAGGUUUAAUGUCUGAUUGUACACUUAUUUAUCAAUAUAGUUUCCUUCAUAGUAGGAGUGUGUAAUUGUAUUUGUACGUAUGUAUAUAUAGAAAAAUAAUGCAUAUUUAAAACUAUAUACAAUUAUGAAUAGCAUCAUUCUUAUAGAUUAUAGUAGGUAACAUUAAAUAAAUAAAGAGAUAAUCUGAUUGUCCUUUACUCCUUAUCUCUGCUGAUUUGUGUCAGCUAACUAAGUUUUUAUUCAUUUCAGGUCCUUGUUAGAAAUGUGCCACCUGACCCUGAUGAAUCAGUCAGCGAGCUUGUUGAACACUUUUUCCUUGUCAAUCAUCGGGAUCACUAUUUAACUCAUCAGGUUCUUUAUAUGCCGUGACCUCAUGAUUUAUAGUUUAAUGACAGUUGAAUGUUGAAAGACUGAUGUUAAUAGAUCCCUAGUUAGUUUAUAGUUUUAAUGCUUAUGAAUUUUGUGUGCUGAUAUAUUCUGAUUGGUUGUGAUCGUAUGCAAUGCUUAACCUUUAUAUUCUUUUCAUGAGUCUCAUAAAAAUAUUGUGGUGGUAUUUAUAGUCUGUAUGGUUUUCAUUACCUAUUUGUGUUAAAUUGGUCAUUGAUGAUGAAAGAAAACACUAGAUGCAAAGACUUCAUUGCGGUUGAAAAUAGAACAUGCAACUGAAGGCUUUGAAUCCAGUGCAGAGAAAGAAACUGUUUGAGCUGUUGUCUAUCUGAAUUGCCCAUCACCAUGAUGAUUUGAAAAUAGGAUGUAACUGAAGGCUUUGAAUCCAGUACGGAGAAAGAAACUGUUUGAACUGUUGUUUAUCUGAAUUGCCCGUCACCAUGAUGAUUUGACGGAACCUCACUGGAACAGUGAUAAGAGAGUGUGCUUUUCUUUUACCAUGAUGAUAAUUGAAAGUUUUAUGUUCAAAAUAGGGAAUGUUAUAACAGCUUAAUAAAAUGACUGAUGAAUGUAUGACUUGAAAUUGAAAAUAUUAAUGAUGGAAAUUAGUUUCACAUGCCCAAAUGCUGAUCUAGGAUAGAUCUAGUUUGAGUCUUCAUGCAUUAACUAAUAUUUUUUUACCAUUUCUUAGUCAUUUCACAGAUAUAUUUUCAUCUUAAGGUUGCAUGAUAUUUAGAAUCAAGUAGGUUUAACAUUGUGAUUUAAGUGUAAAUAAGAUUCAAGUUGAUACUUGAUAUGGAUAAAGUUUAAUGGUUGUUAGAGUGAUAUUAGGUAAUUUCAUGGUUCGCCUUAUUGAUCCAUGUUGGUCUACCAACCAGCUAUCGGUACAGUACAUACCGAGGCGUAUCGAGCACACUGACACAUGGUACAUGGAGGCGUAUCAAUAUACCGCUCGUACUGGUCUCCUAUCGGACCGGUAUGUACCACCCAUACUAAGCGGUAUGCUAUGGUAUAACAAACCUUGAGUAAUUUUAUUUUAUUUUAUUAUUUCUUACAUUGCAUAAAGCAAGGUUCGCUGUACCGUACCGUACCGACGUUUCGACCCGAGCUUGGUAUGGUACCAGUGUACCGGGCGGUACAUCAGGGCAUACCGAGCGGUACACCCUGGUGUACCAAAUUAUUUUUUAUUUUUUUUCAUAUUGUAGCAGUGCUACAGUAUAGUACUGUAGCACUGUAGCGGUACCGGGCAGUUCGCGUAUCGGUAACCUGUCGGACCGGUAUGUACCGCCCGAUAUGGGCGGUACGCUUCAGUACGACAGACCUUGAUAUAAAGUAUAAACAUAACCUAAAUUAAUAAUAAGAUGCCAGACGAGACAAAUUUGGUGGCUGAUUCAAUUGGCAACCAAAAUUUGUGCUAUAUAAGUCAAAAUUUUUUAGUUUGUGUUUUGAUUUGCACGAAGCUAACAUUAUUCAUAAAUGGAGAAUAUGGGAUGGCUUUAUGAUGAUGAAAUUGCUGGAUGGUUGAUAGAGCAAAGAACAAGUAUAUCUUCCCCAACAAAGCCUCUGCACCUCAUGAUUUAAUAAGAGCACAUUUUUGGUGAUUUUACUUUCUGGAGAAUCGAUGCGCUAAUGCAAUGUCUGCCUAGUUUUUAUUUCUUUCGUGUCCGAUAUAAUUAUCCUUGUAAAUUGUAGUUUCGUCUUCUUCUAUCAGAACUUAUCAAACUAACUUUUCCAUUCUCUUAAGUGUCUCAACCUAUUCUUUACUCUCCGAAAGAAGGAAGAAACUAGUUCCGGCCUAUUCUUUGCUUAAAAAAAGAAAAAGAAAAAAAAAACAACAAUAACUAAUAAGAACGUUAAAUAUUAGGACCCAUGUCAUAUGACUCUUCAUACUAACCCAAGUAAUGUAGGUGCAAGGAGACCCCCAUUAAUCUCUCACACCACUGUGACACAUUAUGAUUGUCUAGUUGACUCAUUAAGUUAUCAAAUGGUGUUUUUUAUUAAAAUAUUUUUUUAUUAAAACAUCAUGUGCAUUUUUAUGAUUCUGGAUAUAUAUGGUCAUGAUAUUUGUCGUACUUGUUAAGAAAAUAUUCAUGUAGAGGAUAAAGAUUGAAAGAGGACUAAAGAAUAAUUCAUUUUGCUUAGGAUUGAAAGAAUGUGCUGAUAUAUAUUGAGUUUGGCCAAUAAUUUAACAGCUCAAGCUUUUGGGUUGGAUUAUUGUCCACUCUCAUGUGUGUUAGCCCUGCCUGAAAUUCAUUUAUUUAAAUUCUCCAUUUGGUAUCAAAGCCAUAAGGUCCACAAUAGUUAGCUUUGAUUAGUUUGACAUAAACCAUCCAAUUUAAAAUCUCAACAAUACUAUCAACUCAAAAGAUGUUUUCUUAUUCGCCUAGCAUGCUUGAAUGUAUCAACCAUAUUGUGUACAUGCAGUCCAAUCCAAGAGGAAGCCUACACUAGUGCAGUACAUGAUGUGGCAAUCCUUGGAUUUCAUGAUGAAUGGUGAUAUUGUUUGUAUCAGUAUUGGAAUCAAGUAUCUUUCAUGGAAAACUAAGUGGAUAUGGAUUAUGGACAACCUCUUGGCAAGUGGUUUCCAAUAAUGUUGAUGUGAUGGUUCGUGAGAAAAGUUGAUAUGCAGUUUUCAGAAGUUCCUGUAAUAGGAAUCUGUUCCAUGCAUGUCUGCACACUCGCUUUUAGAUAAUGGUGAUAUUGUUUGGAUCAUUGUUGGAAUCAAGUAUCUUUCAUGGCAAACUUAAUGGAUAUGGAUUAUGGACAACCUAUUGGCAAUGCUGAUGUGAUGGUUUGUGAGAAGCUGAUUUGCAGUUUUCAACUUGUCUCACCAUAACUUUGCAAGAAGUUCCUGUAAUAGGAAUCUGUUCCAUGCAUGUCUGAACACUCACUUUUCCUUGUGUUACAAUUCUCUUUUAGAUAAUGAUCAGGAUUAAAGGUGAUAAAGCUUUUUCUCAUGUACAUAAUCCUUGGAUGUCCUGAUGAAUAGUGAUAUCAUUUGGAUCAUUAUUGGAAUCAAGGUAUCUUUUGUGGCAAAUUAUGUGGAUAUGGAAUAUGGACUACCUAUUGGCAAGUUGUUUGUAAUAGUGUUGAUCAGUGAUUUAAAAGGACGUUCAGACGAGGCGAGGUGAGGCCCGAACGCCUCAUAUAAGGGCCUGGUGGCGUGCUUCAAUAAGGCAUCGCUUGGGCGCUUGCUUGAGCCCAAGGCCAGGUGCUUUGAGCAAGCGCCCGGUUGAUAUAAGGCAACCAGGUUCGGUUAAAUGUGCGUUAGUUGGUUUAAACAAAUCAACUAACGCACACAGUUACCUCAAAACCUACGCGCGACCCCGACUCCCAACCCUAGUAUGCGCUUUCUCCCUCUACCUCCGCUGCCAACGAUUUCUCCCUCUGUGUCUGCUGUCGAUGAUUUCUCCUUCUGCAUUCGCCGCUGACGAUUUCUCCCUUUGUCUCCAUCGCUUACGAUUUCUCCCGUUGCCUCCGAGUCUUCCUUUGUCGCUGAUCGAGUCUCCUUAGCUUCCGCUGUUGUCCGUUGUUUGCCGCUGCCUGUUGCUGUCUGCGACUCCGCUGUCGUUGCCUACUGCUGUCCAUGACUCCGCUGUCGCUGCUGCUAUCCACUACUCCAUUGUCGCUGCCACAGUUGUUGUCCACUGCUUCUCUUCUGAGUUCUGACUUCUCACUAUCGGUUUCACUAAGUGAUAUUUUUUUAUCCCUUUUAACAGUUAUACUCUUCCCUUCUAACUGUUGUUAACAGUAAAUAAUAUACUGUUAACAAUACAUUAUUAAUUACUAUGCAAAAUAAUCUUUAUUUAUUAGAUUAAUAAUAUGAUAUUUUUGUAUAUUUUAAUAUUUUAGAGCGUCUCGUUUUGCUCGGGCGAUCGCCUAGCGUCUCGGGCGUUUUGGGACCUUAGCGCCUAGCGCUUUUUAAAUCACUGGUGUUGAUGCACUGGUCUGUGAGAAAAGUUUGAUUUUCAGUUUUCAAAUUGUUCCACCAAAAUUUUGCAAGAAAACUAUAAUAGGAAUCUGUUCCAUGCAUAUCCGGGCACUUGCUUUUUUCAUAUGUUACAAGUAUCUUUUAGAUAUGAUCGAUCAGGUUUUAAGGACAUCUCUGCUUAAAGGGUCAAAAUAUUAUUUACUAGUCUUGGUACGAGCUAUGAGGGGUGCUUUAAAGACUUCUUCUCAUGGGAGGAUGCAGGGAAAUAAUAGAAUGACUGGCAAUUCUAUGUUUAAUGUUCUAGAAUAAUUGUCAAUACUGAUUGAUCACUGGUCAAUUGCAGUUUUUGUUUGGGAUGAUUUCAGAUCUAGCUGAUAUAGUUUUUCUAGUGUUUGUAAAAAUGUCCAUGCAUGUAUGCAUAUGUAACCAUGUGCAUUUUUAGGAACUUUGAUAUGCAAUUUAUUGACGGUAGCAGCCAUAUGAUGUUAUUUCUUACAUUUUCAAGUUAUACUUUUGCUUGUUUAGCUCUUAGGAAUUUUUUCUUGAUUGAUAUGAAUGCUCAUUUAUAGAAUGAAGCCUAUUUCCUCAAUUUGAUAAUACUUUUUUUGUACAAUAUGUUUUAGUUUGAUAUUUUUUUUUUAUACCAUUAAGAAUUAAUCAUAAAUAGGCUGUUGAAUAUUUAAAAUUAUUGAUAUUACAUUCACGAGGAGAGUGCUUGUUUUUAAUUAUAGAUUUGACUUCUAUUACCAAAAAGAUAAUACCAAUAUUUUAAAUCGCUACAUAAUACUGGCUUUGGUAAGUAGUUCGAUUAGUAUGGUUCUAGGUUAUCAAACAGUACCAUUUGAUAUCACAAAAAGAAAUUGAUAAAAAAUAAAUAUUGACUGGUACCUACUGAAUGAGGAGAGUGCUUGUUUUUAAUUAUAGAUUUGACUUCUAUUACCAAAAAGAUAAUACCAAUAUUUUAAAUCGCUACAUAAUACUGGCUUUGGUAAGUAGUUCGAUUAGUAUGGUUCUAGGUUAUCAAACAGUACCAUUUGAUAUCACCAAAAGAAAUUGAUAAAAAAUAAAUAUUGACUGGUACCUACUGAAUGCUGUGGUCAGACUAGUAAUUACCAAUUGACACAUACAAAUCUGAGGGGUAUUUGAAACCUUGGAGAAUAUACUUGUAUUUUUGCUUUCUUUUAAGAAUGCUUAUAGAUGACAAUAUGUAACAUGUGUAACCAGGAUUGUAGUUGUUUUCAUGCAUGUAUUUUCGUAGCAUUUAAUAUGCAUUUUAGUAUGUUAUAACAAACAUAUGUUUUGUAGGUUGUCUAUAAUGCAAACAAACUUUCUAAGCUGGUAAAAAAGAAGAAGCAGAUGCAGAAUUGGCGUGAUUAUUAUCAACUAAAAUAUGAUAAGGAUCCAUCUAAAAGGCCUGCAGUAAAGGUUAUUUUUUCAGCUUAUAUCUUUCUCUUUGUUUUUUGAUUUCUUCAAAUGAUCUUCACUUUUAUUUAUAUUGUGUCUUCUUACCAUGUGUUCUCUAGAAAUCUCAUAAUAGGUUUCUUUGUUUUAACAGACUGGUUUUCUUGGACUCUGUGGUGAAAAGGUGGAUGCUAUUGACUUUUACAAAUCUAAGAUUGACGAGCUCUCUAAAAAGGUAUGUGUUACUUAUUGAUAUGAUGGCCAUUUCCAAUUUACCACUUGCAAUAAAUCAUAUGCUAAAUUAAAUCAUUUUCUUGUUUUUAAAAAGUUAUAGUUGCUUGUGACUUAGGAUUUACUUUCUUUUGUGUUCUAACUUGGGUUUUAAUAUAUAUGUAGGUUCAUAGUUCAAUUUUCAGCAGAUUCAUCCAUUUUGUACCUCAUGUAUAUGUUGAUCAUGGAACAACCUUAGUUUUCCAUGCCUUUUCUUUUAUGCUUCUAGUUCUAACUGUAAAGAACAUGUGCUAUCAUGUUCUCUCUUAAUAGCAGUGAAAUGCAGGCAUUAUGUUGAUAAUAAGGUAUGUCAUGCCAGUCUAUAUGGGAACCGAGGAAUUAUGGAAAGUAUUAUUGAGAUCCUUAAAAUAGUAUUGUUGAGAUCUCCAAAAUUGUCAUACCUCAAAAGGCUUACAAUACCUUUAGUUUUAGACCUUGCCUUGCCCUCUCCUAUGACUAAUUCUAUAAGUCAACCUGGUUACUUCUCUAUAUUCAAUUAGGAUGAAUUCUUCUUAUUUUACUAAAACCCAAGUAUGAUCCUACUAGAUUAGGAGAAGGAUCUUCUUCUCCUGGUAGGAUCAGAUCAGGAGACUCCCUUAGAUCAAGAGGGUUACUUAAAUCUCACUCAGGUCUUGACUUAUGCCUUGACUCAAGUUCAAUCCAGUUGAAUCAUUUCUCUAUUAUAGUUUUGAGUUUGGACGUCGGAGACCAGUGGUUGGCCCACUCAAGUGCUGUGUGAAUCCAAUAAAUAUCAGGGCUGGUCCUUUUAAGAUUUUUUGUCUCGAGCUUCUGUGAAAUCAUUUCUUUAUUUUAGAUCACUAAAAUUUUGCAUCAUAACAAUGAUAUUUGUAGUUCAAUAUUUGCUGUCUUGUUUAAUGCCUUCUAUUCAAACAAAGAAUACAAUUCUUCUACGAAAUUGUAAUCUUCAAAUGACCGUAUGAUGAUAGUCCGAGCAGUUAUGUAAAGGCCUAGAAUAUGGUUUCUUCUAGGUUGAUGUAGACUGACCCAGAAGAUGACAUCUUUUAGAGAGUUGCAGAAAUGCUUGGAAUAUCAUCUUCCUAGCUUGUAACCUAAAAACGUCAAAUCGAUCUAACAAACGUAAAAAAUAUUUCUCACCUCCUCUUCGAUCUUUAGAUUAUCCCAUUUGAUAAUCUAUCUUUUUUCCAUUAUUUUGUAUCAUCGAUGAUGAAAGAUGCUCCAGUGAUUAGGAGGAGACGAAAAAGAAUGAUAAGAAGGGGAAGAAGUAGAAAAAAAAGGGGUUGUCUGGAAAGAGUUCAAAGAGUAUCUUGAAAUUAAGUGAUAAGUUGAGGCAUUUAUAUCCAUUUGCAGACGGGUCUCUUUGAAAUAUUAAAAGUUCUUAAGAUGAGAUUGUAAAUAGCAAAAAAGGGGUUGCCAAUAGAAAUUUUCUUUGUUUUAUCUUAUCAAGUUUUUAUUUAUCUGUAUAUUUGUGAAAUCUUACCUAUGCACACCAACCGAGUUGGUCCUGUGAUGGUUUCCCUCUUAAUCUUGAGGAAGUUCUUGGUUCAAAUUUUCACUAGGUGGUGCCAAGUAAUUGAACAAGAUACUCAUGGUGGAGAGUGUGCUUGGUAGCUCAAGUAGCUUACAUUCUUUAUUGCAGCUGUAUCUCAUGCUCAAGAAGUGACAAAUUCAUAAAAUGUAGACAAAGGACCAUGGACACUAUAUCUACGAGAUCUUACACAGCUUUUUGGAAGUAGUAAAACCUAAAGUAUCCUAGCUAAUAAGAAGAUAUAUUUAAUAUUAAAAUCUCAUAUAGGUUCCAAGUACGUCUGGAGGCUAGAAAGAACUUAUUUAAGAUAGUAAAUUUUCUUCUAGGCCAUCAAGAAGGUUAAAUUGAUGAACAAAAAGAAAAAAAAUCUUUUUCUGGAGUUGACACUCAUGGAAACUUUUAUUUUAGUUCAAAGCACAUUGAAUCUCUAUUGGCCUUUAAUAUGAUUAUUGUUAUUAUUAUUUGAUCCAUCCUUAAAGAAGCAAUUGCUGUCACAAUGCAUCAUUUUGCUGAUGCUUGAAAGAACUCUCUUGAUGUUCCUUGCCCUGUUAGAGUAAUUUUAUGUUUGGCAAGUAGACUUUUUAUGUCAAGUUGUCAACAUCUUGAGAUGACUUGAUUACCCCAGUUGGUGAGGUGCAUUAUUAAUUAUCUUCAUGAAUCUUGCAAGGCCUAUCUUAUUGCUUUAGAAUUAUUUAUAUAAAGUAUCCUAUCCCUCAAAAUCACUCUUGCAUAUGUCAAUUAAAUUUAGCUUUAUAAUCACAUUACUAGUUAUAUUUCCUGUGACGAUUGUGUCAAUUUGUUACAUUCUUUUAUACCAUCUUAUGGAUUCUUAGGGUUGGUGAUGGUAUAUGAAAUUCUUGUUCAAUUCCGGGUGCCAUUUGAAUUUUUUAGUUUGGACUUUUCUUGCUUUGAAGAAAAAAAUGUUCCAUACUAAACUAAGUCUGCUCUUUUAUGGAUAAAAUUACUUUAGGAGACUACAGAACAAGAAAUGAUAAAAAAGGAUCCAAAGUCCAUUAUGCCAGCUGCAUUUGUUUCCUUUAGGACACGGUGGGGGGCAGCUGUAUGUGCUCAAACACAACAAACUAGAAACCCAACUUUAUGGUUGACUGAGUGGGCUCCAGAACCUCGGGAUGUGUAUUGGCAGAAUUUAGCUAUUCCAUUUGUUUCCCUCACAGUCAGACGGUUGAUUAUAGCAGUUGCCUUCUUCUUUCUUACCUUCUUCUUUAUGAUUCCAAUCGCAUUUGUACAAUCUCUUGCUAACAUCGAGGGAAUCGAGAAGGUUGUUCCAUUUUUGAAGCCCGUAAUUGAAGUGUAAGUUUUGUAAUUUGUACUAUUGAUUUCUUUUGUUUAUUUGUCUUCUGUUUCUUGCAGUGUGAAAUUAUUCUACUGAAGUUUCCUUUAUCUUGAAAAUUCUCACAUCUAGUUUUCUAUAUAUUUCUUACUUGUACCUAAUUGUUGAUAACUUGAUAUGACUUGUUGCCAGCUUAUGAUAGCUAGUUUUUCAGUACAAGUAAUUAUAAAUACGAUCCCAAUGAUAUUUUUCUUUUUACUUUUGAAACUUCUACAUAAAACCAUGUUUUGAGAAGAAUAUGUUAUGCUCAUAAGUGUAUCUUAAGCCAUAACAUAUUGGGUAGAAACCAUGUUUUGUAAGAAUACGUUAUGGUUGUAAGCCAUUAAUUCAGGCUAACCUAUAUGGUUGAUCAUAAGUGUCAUAAAUCAUCAGAGACUUGGAGUACCAAUAGGAUAUUAUCAACUUAUUUUUAGAAAACAACCUCUUUAAAGAAGGCUUUCUUAAGGUAACCAUCUUGCACUUGUGAAAGCAUAAGGAGAAGAACAAGGUCUUCAUACCAACCAUUAUGUAACCAUCAUCUGUAUCUCUGGAUCCAAUUUAGAUUGAAGAAAAAGUAACAUACUCAUUUCCGAAAGCCGUUUGAUCCACAGAUUUUCUUUGACAUUUGGGGUUGGGCUAGUGACCAUGAGCGUGGCAAAUUCCAUGCUGAUAGGUGGUGCACGCAUAUGGAAACACUCAGAACAUCCAAACAUGCUAUCACAACUAGUGUUAACAGAACUAGGAUGCAUCAUAUUAUUCAUUUAUAUGUUCAUUUGUUAGGAAAGACUUGAAGUAGAUCUAACUAAAUUUACCUAUUCCUAAACAUAUUGAACGAAGUAAAACAGUCUUGGACAGAAAUGGAAAAGAAACGGACUAAAUUUACCUCUAGUUUUAUUGUAUGAAAAAGAAGUGGAAAAGAUAAAUGUCAAUUUAUUUCUUUCCAUUGUUUGAUGUUUUUCUUCUUUAACUCAUUUGGCAUUUGGUAUUGAUGGAAGUUGAUAGUGACUAUAGCAGCAGAUAGCUAUGACAUAGUGUGCAAAAUAAAAAAGGGGCUUCAGUCACUGCUCUUUAGUUUGAGCAAUAAUCUUAUACCCUAGUAGUCACAUAACGAAUGUGCCCUGAUUACAGCAGGAGAUAGCUAUGGCAUAGUAUGCAAAGUAAAAAAGGUGCUUCAAUCACUGCUCUUCAGUUUGAGGCUUUGAGCUAUAAUAUAAUACCCUGAUAGUUCCAUAACGUGGGCUAUGAUAUAUAUGGUAUAUAAGUCACUUCUUGACUUUGUAAAGGAAACUUGUCAGUCCUAGUCCUACGACUCAUUUGUAUUAUUAUGUCAUGUGAAAGCCAAAAAAGAGUUUGUUAAGCUAUAUGAAAUGCCUUUACUGUGAAGGCACCAGGGAUUUGAGUAGGUGACAUUGUGAUACCUUAAUGUUCCCACAUAAAAAAGGAUUUGUAUGUUAACUUGAGUACCUAGACUCAAGGAUUCAAUCCUGGGUGUUGGGAUUGUAUCUAAGGCUGCUUAAGCCAGUUCAAUGAUACUGUACUGAGACCUAACAACAUUUUGUUUUGUAGCCAUUGUCAUAACAAAGUGCACAUAUCCCAUUUAAGAUAUAUUGAUCAUGAACAUUUGUCCUUGUCAUCUACAAAUAUUUAAGGUAACCUAAAGGGAAUAAGACCACUGUUAUUGGCGGUGGAAGAAGAAAUGGGAGAGCAGAUGUUGUGGCUGAUCGGUUAUAGCAGCAUUCUAUCAUCAAUUUGUGUACCAUGAUAUUCUGGAUUAGAUAGGGCCUUAAUUCAUUAUCACCAGGAAUUUAAAAGGUUAUUCUAUAGAUUUGGACUAGGUAUGUCUUGGUCUGUGCAACAUAAAUUAGAUAAUAUAAUUUAAUCUCAAACCAGCAUAUGAGCCUCUAAAAUUUUGCAUUUGUUCAUACCAGUACCUGCUUGUCCUUUGAUGAAGCUUUUCUAGAUUUAUGUUGUAGUUGAAAAGUAAUCAUCAUGAAUAUGUAUCACCUAAUAUAAAUAUUACAUUGUGUCAGAGAAUUGCCUAAACAUCCUUUCUAGUUAUUCCAAAAGAACUUUCAGUUUUAUUAUAUUACAACAAUUUUGGGGAUUUGUGAUAUUUUGAACAUUUUCUUUUUUACUGACAAGUAAUCAUAAUUUUACAGGGGAACUAUCAAAUCAUUCAUCCAAGGUUUUCUUCCAGGAAUUGCUCUGAAGAUCUUUCUUAUAUUGCUCCCUACAAUAUUGAUGCUUAUGUCGAAGUUUGAAGGAUUUACAUCCUUGUCAGCAUUGGAGAGAAGAUCUGCAUCUAAAUAUUACCUCUUUUUACUUGUAAAUGUAUUUCUUGGGAGCAUCAUUACUGGAACAGCAUUCCAGCAGCUAAAUAGGUUUAUUCACCAGUCAGCAAAUGAGUAUGUUUUGCAACUUAUCCUCAUAUCUGAAAAUUACUAAAUAAUUAGUUUGGUUUUUAUAACCUAUGCGCUUUACAAGAUUUGGAUACCAAUAAUUUGGAAAUGAAUGUGCAUCAUGGUUGAUACCUUCAUUAGCUCAGAUAUACCAACAAGUGAAUGGAUUUCACUCAUCCAUCUAUGCGAACAGCACAUCCUAUGCAUGAAUCUUAAUGCAUAUUUUGGUCAGAAUUCAGAAAGACUUUAGCUUCAAAGCUUUUGAAACUAAUAUGCCUUGUUGUGUGUGUAUAUAUAUAAAGAUAUUUACCUUCAGAUAUAAGUUUAUAUAAUGUAUAUAUACACACAUUGUUCAAUCAAGCGUUUCUUUGUAGUUGUAUUUCAUAUACCAGCAUCCUAUAAAAUAUUUCCUACUAUUUUGUUAGUAAACCUAAUGAAAUAUUCUAAUCACUUGAUAAAAUGUUCUGCCCAUGCUAAGAACUAUUUGUGGUUAGGUCUGGAAUAUGUUCUUAAAUACAGACUAAAUAGAGUUGUCUGGCUUCUUGUGGUAAAACCAAGGAUUAAGAUUCUGGUCAUACUGAACUAACUGAAAUACAUUCUGUCUUAAGGAUUAACAAACAUGGUACAAAGAUGUGCCAGUUAUCAUAUUAUGGCAGCAUAUAGAAACAAGUCAGGUAUCUGAUAACGAUGCUUGAAAUGGCAUGAUAAUAGUAGUACCGGAUGAACUGCUGAAAAAGAAGCAUCACAUGACACCUUUACCAUGGGUGAAUCACAAUAUAGAUAAUGUUUUCUUACCUGCCAGCAUAUGUAAUAUAGUCGUGGACACAAUGACAAUGCAUGACAUGGCAGUAUAACAAUACCUGAUUAAUGACCUACUGGAAAGGGCAUCAUAAACCUUAAUUGAGAUGAAUCACAACAUAGGUAGUGUUCCAGACUUCCAGUUACCAGAUUGUUUCUCUUUCUGGUAAUUACACAUUUGUCUUGUGCUUUAUUCCUAGACUUCUGUUCCAGAAAAAUUAGAAAUUUGACAUUAAAUAAGAGUUCUUACCUCUUAUGAAAAUUGACUUGUUGAUAUGAAUCUUUGUCUUGUGCUUUAUUCCUAGUUUUGAAUCUUUCAUUGAAUUAUUCACUCGAUCUAACUUCUUUUUGUUUAUCAAGAAGUCUUCAUAAUUUAAAACUGUCCUGUUAUGUAGAAUUCCAAGGACAAUAGGUGUAUCUAUUCCCCAGAAAGCAACAUUCUUCAUUACCUACAUCAUGGUUGAUGGUUGGGCUGGAAUUGCUGGGGAGAUCUUAAGACUGAAACCUUUAAUAAUAUAUCAUUUGAAGAAUUUUUUUCUGGUGAAGACUGAGAAAGACAGGGAAGAAGCUAUGGAUCCUGGAAGUAUCGAUUUUGCCUCAUCUGAACCUAAGAUACAGCUGUACUUUCUCCUUGGUCUUGUAUAUGCAGUGGUCACACCGUUCUUGCUUCCUUUCAUAAUAAUUUUCUUUGCCUUGGCAUUUGUUGUCUUUCGUCAUCAGGUGAGCAACUUAGUAAUCUAUGAUCCUGCAGACUUAGAGUUGCAUUAUAUUCCAUAAAUGGAUUUUCUUAUAUUGAUGUACAUGCAUAUUUGAUUCAAUGUUUAACUACUUUAUAGUUGUCUAAAGCUUGGUUAUGUGAAGUGUGUUCUUUAUUAGUGGUCUUUGUGGUUCCCACAGGACAAGUCCGUUAUUACCAAGGUCUGCAAUGCCGUACAGUAUCGAUGAUUCGAGGCUGGCUCGGUACGUUGUACCGAGCGAUACGCCAAGCGUACUGAGCGGUACACCUAAUUUAGGGUGUAAAACCCUCCGAAAAUACCUAAAAAUAAAAAAAAGGUUAGGAUAGGGUUUUUAAGUUAGAAAUAAAUAUAGUAAUAGUAUAAGUUUAGCAAAAUCAAUGUAAAUUAAGUAAGAAUAGUAUCACAUAUCUUUUUCGGGCUUUGAGGAAGUCUUGUUCAAGGUUCGUAUUUCAGUCCGNNNNNNNNNNNNNNNNNNNNNNNNNNNNNNNNNNNNNNNNNNNNNNNNNNNNNNNNNNNNNNNNNNNNNNNNNNNNNNNNNNNNNNNNNNNNNNNNNNNNNNNNNNNNNNNNNNNNNNNNNNNNNNNNNNNNNNNNNNNNNNNNNNNNNNNNNNNNNNNNNNNNNNNNNNNNNNNNNNNNNNNNNNNNNNNNNNNNNNNNNNNNNNNNNNNNNNNNNNNNNNNNNNNNNNNNNNNNNNNNNNNNNNNNNNNNNNNNNNNNNNNNNNNNNNNNNNNNNNNNNNNNNNNNNNNNNNNNNNNNNNNNNNNNNNNNNNNNNNNNNNNNNNNNNNNNNNNNNNNNNNNNNNNNNNNNNNNNNNNNNNNNNNNNNNNNNNNNNNNNNNNNNNNNNNNNNNNNNNNNNNNNNNNNNNNNNNNNNNNNNNNNNNNNNNNNNNNNNNNNNNNNNNNNNNNNNNNNNNNNNNNNNNNNNNNNNNNNNNNNNNNNNNNNNNNNNNNNNNNNNNNNNNNNNNNNNNNNNNNNNNNNNNNNNNNNNNNNNNNNNNNNNNNNNNNNNNNNNNNNNNNNNNNNNNNNNNNNNNNNNNNNNNNNNNNNNNNNNNNNNNNNNNNNNNNNNNNNNNNNNNNNNNNNNNNNNNNNNNNNNNNNNNNNNNNNNNNNNNNNNNNNNNNNNNNNNNNNNNNNNNNNNNNNNNNNNNNNNNNNNNNNNNNNNNNNNNNNNNNNNNNNNNNNNNNNNNNNNNNNNNNNNNNNNNNNNNNNNNNNNNNNNNNNNNNNNNNNNNNNNNNNNNNNNNNNNNNNNNNNNNNNNNNNNNNNNNNNNNNNNNNNNNNNNNNNNNNNNNNNNNNNNNNNNNNNNNNNNNNNNNNNNNNNNNNNNNNNNNNNNNNNNNNNNNNNNNNNNNNNNNNNNNNNNNNNNNNNNNNNNNNNNNNNNNNNNNNNNNNNNNNNNNNNNNNNNNNNNNNNNNNNNNNNNNNNNNNNNNNNNNNNNNNNNNNNNNNNNNNNNNNNNNNNNNNNNNNNNNNNNNNNNNNNNNNNNNNNNNNNNNNNNNNNNNNNNNNNNNNNNNNNNNNNNAGUAUGUACCGGGCGGUAUCAUUCGGUAUUGCCUACCUUGGUCAUUACUGCAGCACACUAAUUCCUUAAACUCAUCACGAGGUACUUGUUUAGCAAACACCUGAAAUAUUUGGGAGAAAACAGGUUGAGCUUAAGAGAGCAAGCCUUUUGUGGGAAAGUAACAAAAUUAUUUGAAGGAUGGUUCCUAAUCUAUGAAAUUUAACUGCUCUCGUGAAUGCUUCUUUGCAGGCUAUUUAGGCCAGAAACUCCUGUUUAAAAAUGACUGUAAAAUUGGACUUCAGAAAGGCAAAAUCUCAUCUUGUUAUCACCUGUCGUCUAAUCAUUUUCCUUGUCUAUCUGUAUUUCUUGUCUUAUUCAAUAUGUAGUCAACUGUUGAAAGAGAACCUCUUUUUCUGUUGUCCUUUCUUUUAUGAAAAUCCACAUGAUCAAAUAAUUAAAUUCUCUUCUCAUUCCCGUGUUUCUUUUAUCUUAUUGAUUAAACUUGAUUGAUCUUUUUAUGGGAAAAAAGACAAAAGCGUUGCUUUUGUGUGAAAAGUCACCUGUUAUGUCUCAGUAUCGUGUAACGUCUAGUUAUUACUCUCUUAUGUAUUUAAUUUUCAUUUCUUUAAGCUUUAGUUACAAGGGUGAUAUAUUGAGCUAUUAGCAAAGGGCCAAGGGUGAUAUAUAGAGCUUAUACAAAAAAAUGAUCUUGAUCUCUCUCCCUAUGGAGUUUGCAUGUGAAAGCACAACAGGGAAGAUAAUUUGCACCUUUUUCGGUUACUUAUUUGGUUGGGCCUAUAGAAAUCAAGUUGCUUUCCUUUUUCUUGUCAUCUGCUGUGGCUUCAUUUAUAUUUUUCACAUUCUUCUGCUUUUUUUUCCCUUGAUUGUAGCAUAGUCUUUACUGAGUAGUUCUUAUAGCUCAAGUCUCUUGUUGACACAAAUUCUAUCUUCGUUCUUGAUUUUAUUCAUAUAUUUUGCCUUGAAUCCUGAGAAUUUUAUCCCUAUAUCCAGGUCAAACCUUUCCUACUUCAAUCCCUAAACCAUUCUCACCUCUUCCCACCUUGCAAACUUUUCCUGAGGCAUAAAGGCCCUAAAAUGCUACUUAAUAGGACUGCCAGGAUUAGAGCACUGCAAACUGCAGUACUUCUUUGUUCUUUCACUUUGUGACUGAACCUCAAAUCUAAAAUAAACAUUCAAUGAUAUCUGUAGCUGUUGCAUCUGAAUACACCACUUUCUCACUCUUAUUUCCUUUUCAAACAUUACUGUAACCAGUCCUCUACGUUCCUGCUAAAUCCCUUGCCUAUCUUGAACUUAAAUCUACUUGUUUUGCCUAAAAGUUGAAGACAUCAUUGCUAGCAUCAGUCGGCAAAGUUGAAAAAGAAAAUUGUGUUGAUUUCUAGACUGUCUUUGUAAUUUGUGUAAAUUAAUUCAUGUGUUUCUCACUCCUCUCGGUUGCCAUUGUAAAGUGCAAUAACUUGGAGUUUAAAUCUUAAUAAGCUAAUGUCAACGUUACAAUUUUAUAUAUUAUGGCUUUGGUUACUCAAUAUAUUCCGAUACACUAAUUUAUUUGUGUACCAGGGGAUCUUACCUAUCACGAGUUUUGUAGGGCAUAGCUUUGUUAGUAUUCCUCGGUGAAUCUUGUAGGUUUUCCUAUGUUAUGUAUGAUAUAAUUUCUCUGUCAAUUAGAGAUUCUUUUGGAGAUAUUCUUUCUAGGUUUUCUAAAAGGUGCCCAGCUGCACAUGAUUUCAUUUUCCUUGAACUUUUCAGAUUUAAUCAUAGAUCAAAGAAAGCACUAUAUAUAUAAUGCUAAACCAAAUCUACACUUUUCUUUUUUUAGUUAAAAGUAAAAAAUGCCAGCUCACUGUCCUAAUUUCACAAACACACUGAAUAAUUGAAAAUCUCUUGGAUAUUCAUCGCAAAUUCAGAAAACCCUAUGUGCCAAAUGCUUUUUAAUGUUCAUACAUUAAGUGUGGAGAAAAUUAAAUGUUGAUUUUGAUAAUCGAGUUCAUUGGUAUAAAAUGGUCCUAAAGGCUAGACUCUACAGUAGUUUUACGAAGUAUUCAACUACAAUUAGUUGGUUCCUUCCUUAUUUUCAUCAUGCUUUCUAUUUUGUUCUCAUUUUUCCUAAAUAGAGGACAAUUCUUCAUGGAAAGUGACUUCUAAACAUGUAAUUGUUGGAGCAGUAAACAUUAGUGAAAGAGACACUGCAUGGAUACAAGAGGGACUGACACAUGCAGUCUCCAGAGUAGGUUUCCAAACUAGCAUAUUUCUCCUAGCUUUUUUGAAUGUAUUGCUGCAACGAUCAUAUUAAUAUAUUUGCUUCCUUUUCCAUCAAAUAACUUGUAUUUUGUUUGUGCUAUCUUAUUUGAAAUCGAUAAUUGCUAACCUACUGCUGUAAUAGUCAUAUUCAUGAUCCCUUUACUUUCUUGUCCAUCUUAUAUGUUACAUCUAAGAAUUCCAGUAUUUUGUUUCUGAUGAAAAUUUUCUCAUGAUACAGAUUAUAAAUGUCUACAAUCAAGAAUAUGAAAGUGGGGCAGCAUUUUGGCCCGAUGUUCAUCGCCGCAUUAUUACUGCUCUAAUUAUUUCCCAGCUGCUUCUACUUGGUCUUUUAAGUACAAAGCAUGCUGUAAAUUCAACACCUUUGCUACUAGUUCUUCCUGUGUUGACUAUAUGGUUUCAUAGGUUCUGCAAGAAUCGAUAUGAACCUGCAUUUGUUAAAUUUCCACUCCAGGUAAUCCUUUAUUCAUUUUUUUGUAAAUUAUGUGGAUCUUGUUCCAUAUCUCGUUUCCGCAGCUUAUUUUGAGUUGAAAACACAUGGCACAAUUUAAGAUUAUCAAAUUGUGUAGAAUCUUAGUAUAGGUGGUAAAAUUGUAGUGCUAAUUAGAAACUACGAGAUUGAAGUUUCUUUAAGCAGAACUUGCUCUAACCAUUACACAUCAUCUCCAUUUACAGUGUAAUCUCACAUGGCUUUUGAAGUCAUGGGAAAAAUGUUAUCCAUGUAAUGUUGAGCCUUGAGAAUGACAUAAAUUUUGGUAUUCGUGCAUAAAAUAAUUGAGACUAAUCCAAAAAUAAUAUCUAUAUAUACAUUCUUGAUGCCAAUUGAAAAACUAAUGUUUGAAAUGUUGCCGAUGUGAAACCCAAUAUGUUGUGGCACUUGCUAUUUCUAUGGUGCAAUAUGGAUCCAUGCAGACACAAGUAAGAUGCAUGAUAAAGGAAAAGGAAAAAUGAAAACAAAAAGAAAAAGAAGAUGAAAGUUAAGUAAACGAAUGAAAAUGUACUAACCUGUUCUUAGCCUUCUUUGACAUAAUCUCUAAUGACGAAUCACUCCCUAGGUGAAUCUUACUGUAGAUAGGGUUGAUUACCCCCUUCUCGUGAAAUAAUUGAUACAUUGAGCUUGUUGUUUCUUUAACUAGUUUAUAAAAAAAAUGUCACCCUCUCUAAUAUUUUCAGUGGACUACAUUCCCUAAAUGAUCCUUGGAAAACCAAAAAAAAGGAAAAAGAAAGGCAUAUGGUUACUCUCAAAAAAGGGUGGUUACGUGCCAUCCGGUAUGGGUGGCUCAUGCAAAAUUACAAAACUUGAUCCAAGGAAUUUAAAUUCAGUUACUCUGUCUCUGUCCAUAGCCAUAUCAGUAUUGGUCUGUUCGGUUCCAACACACUAUGUCUGAACAUACCAUGAUAAUGUUAUGGGAGCAAUAGGAGGGGAGGAAGCAGCGAUUUUAAAAGGCGCUCGGGCGCUCGUCUAGGCGCUCGGGCGAGGCAAGGCGAGGCCCGAGCGCCUCGCUAAUCUCCCAAGCAGCGCGCUUCAAACAAGCGCCGCCUAGGCGCUUCGGGCGAGCGUCCGGGUUAACCAAGGUGACCGAACCAGGAUUUUAGGUCUGGUUCGGUCCUGGUUCGGUCUAUGAUGGUUAGUUGGUUCAAUCAAACCAACUAAAACUGAUAUAAGUGACAACCGAACCCUAACCCUCGUCGCUGCCGAUCCCGUUGCUCGCAAACGCUGUCGCUGCUCGCAAAUGCUGCCGCUCGCGCCUCCCGCUGCUCGCCACUCCUGCUCCCGCUGCCGCUGCUCGCAAACAUUACCGUUGUCGCCGCUCGCGCCUCCCGCUGCUCGCUGCUGCCGCCGCUCGCCGCUACCGCUUCCUCUUUUCUCAGUCAGCAGGCUCAGCACCCCUUUACACUUCCUUUUAACAGUAUACGUAUACUAUAUACUGUUAAUAUUAUUAAGUUUAUUUGAAAUAAUUAAUUUUCAAUACUAUUAAUAGAUUAAUAAUAUAUUAUUUUGAUUUUAAUACUGUUAAUUUUUAUUUAUUUGAAACUUUUUGUUAAUGUGACAUUGUGAUUUUGUAUCUUAGAUUUUCUUAAUUUAAUAGUAUAUUUUUAUUUAAAAUUUUAAAUAAUUAUAUUUAUUAAUUAUAUUAUAUAUUUUUAUAUUUUAGCGUCUCGCUUCGCUCGAGCGAGCGCCUAGCACCUCGGGCGUUUUUGAACCUUGACGCCUUUUGGCGCCUAGCGCUUUUUAAAUCAUUGGGAGAAAUUUAAAGAAGAAGAAAAAGAAAGGAAGAAGAGGAGGUCUAUUGGAGUGGACGGUGGGAGUGCUUGCAGCAACAGGCAACUGACAACAGGUGUGCGAGUGGUGAUGGGCGGAGAGCAGACUCGAGACUCUUUGCAAGAAGUUGCAUUGCAGCCCUACAUCACGAACUAGACUGGACCACUGUGAACUGGUUAUAGUUAUAUAAAGUAUAAAGGAAUGAAAUUAUUAUUAUUUUACCUAUCAUGUGAAGCUUCAUGUACAUUUGAGUAUCAUAUAUCCAAUCAAUGAUAUUGGGGAAGACCUUAGAUCUAGGUGUCCCGCCCUAAUUUGCUUGGAGUUAAUAUAAAGGGGUAAGUGUAGCCAUUUAUGGCACCUAUUCCAUGUGCUUAAUGAUAAUGAUUUCAACUAUUACAUCCUAGAAAUACGGAGGAUAAAGUAUGAUUCCGAUGAUACUUCUUUUAUAUAAGCCCUUAAAGUGAGAGCUAGACCAAUUACUUAAUGUAAACAUAUUAUUGAUUCUAUUUUUCUUGGCUAAAUGGAAUAUAAGGAGAUUAAGUAGUAAAUUGAGUGGUAUCAAGCCACAAAAUUUUCCCUUCCGUGAAUCUUUGAACAAGUAUGCAUCUAGUUAUCAUUAUAGGUGAAAUGAGUGACAUGUUGUGUCCAAAUCAGGGUUUUGAAUAAGGUAUGCAAUACCGUACCGUACCGGUGUUUCGAGGUUGGCUCGGUAUGGUAUGGUAUCGAUGUAUUGAGCGGUACACUAGGGUGUAUCGAGCGGUACACCCUAGUGUACCGAACAAUUUUAUAUAUUUUCUUCAUUACUGUAGUACUGCUACAGUAUAGCAUUGUAGCACUGUAGCGGUAUCGGGCGGUCCGUGUACCGGUAUGUCAUCGGACCGGUACGUACCGCCCGUACCGGGCAGUACCAUUCGGUACUGCAUACCAUGGUUUUGAAUACCGGUUCGUACCGAUGUACCGAGCAAAGCUCGGUACCAUACAUAUUGAUAUGUAUCGUCAAUACGCCAGGGUGUACCGACGAUGGUAUAUCCAAAAACCUUAAAAAUAUCUUUAUCUAUCACGCUAGGGCAUACCGAUCGGUAUGCCUUGGUAAUAGUCGAAAUCCGAGACGGUACCUGUUGGUACACCUUGGUGCCGCCCGAUGGAGGGCAGUCCGCAUAUCAAUAUCCUCUCGAUACAUAGCGCCCGUACCGGACGGUACACAUCGAAAUUAAGAAUCCUAGUCCAAAUUGCUAUCCUCUUCAAGGUAGGAUAUUGCCAGUGUCUUUGUCUAGAAAAGAUACAAAUGUUCACCAACUAUUUAUUGGCCUUCUUGAAAUUAGUGUUAUUUUUAGACAUCACUUAUAUAAUAUUAGUUCUCUCCAAUAUCAUCAAUUACAGUGUCCAUCAGAUCCUAUAUGUAUCCUUGGAUGUUAAAUUUGAUUAUGAUGCAUCAAUGAACCUGCUGUUGCAUGUGUAGGUAUUGUUAAGGGCCCACUACUUGAAGAUUUUGAUCCUUCUGUGAAUUUACUCGACCUCAUCAUCAAGAUACACCUUAGUGAUCUCAUAUGAAGGAAGAGGUUGUAUCUUGGGUUCAUGUUUCUAAGUGGUUUACAUGAUGAAUCUGUAAUUCACAUCCUGAGCUAGGAUGGGUGAUAGAUGCAGUUGAAAUUGUACAAGCAGUGGUUGCCUUACCUAUAUCCUCUUUUUCUUAUAAUAGUCAUGGUCCAUUUGCAAUCUGAAAGGGGAAUGCCAUGGGAUCAAGAUCAAACAUCAGACAUCAAUCUCUUAUCGAAAAACUAAAGAAACACAAAAAAAAAACUAAAGAAACACUUGAUGCCCCUUCUUCGGGUUGGGAUGGUGCUCAUCCUAGCACUUGUGCCAUAAUAGAAAUGCAUCAUGGUCCAUUCCCAAUCUAAAAGGGGAAUGCCAUGGGAUCAAGAUCAAAUAUCAGCCGUCAAUCUCUUAUCGAAAAACUGUAGAAACUCUUGAUGCCUCCUUCUUGGGGUUGGGAUGGUGCUAGUCACCUCAUACUAGCACUUGUGCCUAUCUCAUGAGCAUCGCAUGCUAAAUCAUCACUAGCUUGUCUGAUACUAAAAGACUUGUUGAACUAGGAUGGACUAGCAACACUAGCAUUGCCACCGCUAUUUCCAUGCUUGAAUUGAGAUGGAUCGACCUAAUGUUUGUAUCUUAUAUUCUUGUGCAUAUGAGAUUACUCCAAACAUCGUAAAUAUUACUUGUGUACCUUUGGAUUUUCCUAGCAUCCAACUAUGCCUUCAAAAGCUUGUUCAAUUUUUAAAGGGCUCUUGUUUAUAUGGCAACACCAGGAAUUCCACUAGUCAAAUGUUAUUGUAGCCUUAUUCCUCUGCCAUGACCAAUAUAUUCGAAGUGUAUGUAUUGGCAAUCAUGGUGACACUUCAAGUGAUGGCCACUCUAGCUUAAUAUAUAGCUUUGAUACUGUUAUUUUCAUACAAACAUUAACAACUAAUUCAGGUAUAAAAUUCCAAAAAUGUACAUUUUAGUGGAAAUUCGAUCUAGACUGACAGAAAUGUAGAUUAGAUUAUCAUUUUUGGUUAAUAGCAUAGCCUGCAUCCAUACUUGGACGCUGAAUUGAUUCUAUGGGAUAACCAUUCUACUUUAUGUUGCUAGAGUAGAUUUAAAAUGAAAAAUCAGGCAUAUGUUAGUAUGAUUGUCCUCUUACAUCUUGUGCUCUUUCACUUGCAGGAAGCAAUGAUGAAAGAUACAUUAGAGCAUGCCAGGGAACCUAACCUAGACUUGCGAGCAUACCUCCUGAAUACAUAUGUACACCCAGUAUUUAAAGAUGGUGAGGAUGACGAUAGCUUUUCGGAUGAUGGGGAACAAGAAUGUGAGAAUGUCUUAGUGCCCACGAAGCGCCAAUCCCGGAAGAACACACCAGUUCCCAGUAAAUAUAAUGGUUCAUCUUCUCCUUCUCUUCCCGACAUCGCCAAAGAAGAGCUAUAAUAUAUAAUGGAUAUGCACUCCUAAUUCCCCUGUACAUUAGCAUCACGAGGAGUGAAUUGAAGGGGUGUGAUAUAUUUGAUCUCCUCAAUUUGAUAUGCUGAAGAUAGAUCUAACUCAAUGCACACUGUGGAUUCAGCUACUCAGAUCAGGAUGGAUAUGGACACUUCACUCGUUCACAAAAGUUAUGUUAUCAUGUGGUUAAUCUUCACUUCAAACACAGCUUUACAAAGGUCUCCUGUUGUAAUUGGCCCAUUUGUUUCAGUAGCAUGGCUUGCUUUCAACCAAGUCAAAGUCAUCCGAUUUAUCUUUCUAUCACAAACUCUAAUACUAUGUUGGAUUUUUUUUCGAUGAAUACAGACUCGAACAAAAUUGUGGACACUCGACUAGUAUAAUAAGAUGAUGGUUUCAAAUCCUUAAUUUCUGCUAAUAUAUAUAGUGUUGCCACAUGUCCAUAUUAGUGGUAAUUCUUCACUAUAAUUUGUUUUUUCUCUUUUGGGUGGUGUUAAGUUAGAUUUAGGUUCUUCCACGUGGAUGUUGAUUUGGUUCGAAUCUAUGUACUCUUUUUGCAUCUGAGUGAGAUGGUGUUGGGUGAGGGAAAAGUUCAAAGUUAAGACUUAGCAAAACUGCAUUGAGGACAUACUUGACAAGGUUUAUUCGAUACUUAAGUUAAUGUUUUAUUCAGAGGAUUUGAUCAUUAUCAAAUCUAUAUGGAUUUAAGCGUCAUGGAAUAGUUCAGAUGUCAAAGAAUAGUUCAGAUGUCAAAGAAUAUACCUGAGGGGUCUUUUUAUUAGUACGGUAUGAGAAUGUUGUAUUGGAUGUCAAGAUAAAAUGUCAAAAAUAAUUAUGCAUUUUUUUCGAUCAUACGGGAAAAAUCGAUGGAAUCAACUUUUCAUUUAUAUGACAUGGCUAAUUCCGUAAGGUCGAGUUGUCUGUUCGAUGAGGGGUGAGAUAUUGAUGAGGUGUCGAUCGAAAUAUUGAUGAGGUGUCGAUAACUAUGUAUGUGUCACAAUCUAUCUAUAUAUUGAAGUUAUUUUGUAUUUGGGCUUCUUUUCAAAAGAAGUUAUAGGUUUGCAUUUUCUAAAAUCAAAUCAGUAAGUUCAUCACCCUAACCAUCCAAGUUUUUUAGCAAUUAACAAAAAGAAUAAGAACAGAAUAAUCUUUGCCAUCAUAAUACAAAAUAAUUAGUUAAUUUUUUUAUAAUCUAAGAUUAAUUAUAUAUGAUCGUCUGUAAUUAGUUACUUUUAGUAUCUCGAUCUUUAUAUUUUUAAAAGUUAGUUCCAACAAAAUCUCUCUUUAUAUUUUUAAUUCUAUAAAAUUAUAUUUUUAAUCGUAUAGAGAUCUCGAUAUUUUAAUUUCAUAAGUAUAAAAAUCUCAAUAUAAUUUUUAAAAAUAUACGGAUCAAAAUAUUAAAAAUAAAAAUAACUUAGUAAUUAGUCGCUUCCCAAUCAAAGACGGAUGGAGAGAGAGAGAGAGAGCUAUUUGUAGCAAUGCUACACCAAAUCCGAGGUUUGCUGGGUUGACCAAAUCUGUGGCAGGAGUGGACGAAGAACAUCCAUACUCCAUGUUUCCCUCGCAUCCUUUCUGUCUGCCGCAUUGGUCGAAGGUAAGAGUCGUGGCACAUGAACGAUCGAUCGCCUUUGUCUUUUUAUUUGCAGGUUUCCCUUCUUUCUUUCCCAUCCUUCUCCUCUUCGCUACAAUAAUUCUCACCACCCGGUGGGAGCGAAAAGCAGAGGAAGGGAUCGAAGGACAGCGCGGCAAAGACGGGGAGGUAAUUAAUUAGUAAGGGAUGGAUGAUAGGACCGAAUCUAUUUGUUAGGUUUGCGUUCGUUGAUUCAUUCAGGUAUAGAUCUUGCAGCAACAGUGGAAGCCAUGGGUGAAGAUGAUGAGAAGCAGUCAGAGAAGAGGUACAUUUCCUCGGAGGAGCUCCGGUUGCACAACACGCCUUCGGACCUGUGGAUCUCGAUCCAAGGUAAGGUCUACGACGCUACCCACUGGGUGAAGGACCACCCGGGCGGCGAGCUCCCUCUGUUCAACCUCGCCGGUCAAGACGUCACCGAUGCCUUCGUCGCUUACCACCCGGGCACCGCUUGGUCCCUCCUCGAUCGCCUUCCCCUGGUCGGCUACCUCUCCGACUACCGAGUCUCCGACGUGUCCAAGGACUACCGACGCCUGAUCACCGAUAUCUCCAAGAAGGGCCUCUUCGACAAGAAGGGUCACAUAACCUUCAUCGUCCUUUGCCAUAUGUGCCUCAUGUUCGCCGCCGUCGUGUACGGCGUCGUCUGCUCUCCCAGCGUGUGGGUCCAUCUCGGCUGCGCGGUCGUGCUGGGGUUCCUGUGGAUGCAGUCGGGGUUCCUUGGACACGACUCCGGCCACUACCGUAUCUUGAGCGGCCCUCUGGUGAAUCGCAUCAUGCAAGUGGUCACCGGGAACUGCCUCGCCGGAAUAAGCAUCGAAUGGUGGAAGCGGAACCACAACGCUCACCACAUCGCGUGCAACAGCCUCGAGUUCGACCCCGACGUGCAGCACAUCCCCGUCCUCGCCGUCUCCUCCGAGUUAUUCCGCGGCCUCACGUCCUACUUCUACGAGCGGAAGAUGAGCUUCGACGGGGUGGCGAGGUUGCUGGUGAGCUACCAGCACUGGACGUUCUACCCGGUGAUGUGCGUGGCGAGGUUGAAUCUCUUCGCGCAGUCGGUGCUGUUGCUGCUGUCGAACAAGAGGGUGCAGGGGAGGAGCAUGGAGUUGGUGGGGUUGGGGGUGUUCUGGGUCUGGUUCCCGCUGCUCGUCUCCUACCUGCCGAGCUGGGGCGAGAGGGUGAUGUUCGUGGUGGCCAGCUUCGCGGUGACCGGGAUCCAGCACGUGCAGUUCUGCUUGAACCACUUCUCCUCCAGCGUCUACGUCGGGCCGCCGCGGGGGAACGACUGGUUCGAGAAGCAGACGAUGGGGACGCUGGACAUCACCUGCGAGCCCUGGAUGGAUUGGUUCCACGGGGGGCUGCAGUUCCAGGUGGAGCACCACCUGUUCCCGCGGCUGCCGCGGUGCCAGCUACGGCGGAUCGCGCCCCUGGUGCGGGAGCUCUGCAAGAAGCACGGCCUUCCGUACGAUAACUUCUCCUUCUGGGAGGCCAACGUGAGGACCAUCAGGACGCUGAGGACGGCGGCUUUGCAGGCGAGGGACUUGGCCAAUCCGGUCCCCAAGAACUUGGUGUGGGAGGCGGUGAACACCCACGGAUGACCAACGUCUUCGGCCCACUUCCUCCGACUCCGUCUUCCCUUUCCUACACGGCUUUUCUUGCCCAAGGGAAAAGGAAAUCCAGGAAAGAAGGAAGAACAUAUCAUCAUCCGCAUAUAGAUAGGGUGUCUAUGGGAUUCUCCAUCCAUCUUUGUCGUGUGAUUCUGCAUUCGAUCGAAUUGAUGUUUCUUCUGUCUACAUUUUUCAUAUGAGAGAAGAAAAAGAGUCUGAUAGCAUGAAAAGCUCCGAUGCAGAGAGAGAGAACAAAAUGGUGGCAGUCUGCAUUAUAUGUAGCCUCUGUUAGGCCAACAAGAAAAAUGCUAAUAAAUACUGUAUUAAUACGUCAUUAAUUAUUAAUCAAAUUUACAGACACAUUAUUACCAAUUAAAAUUAUAUUGAAUACGUCUAUACUGUUUAUUAUCAACCUUGUCGGUCAUUGGUGUGAUCCAUAAACUUACAAGAAAUUAUUCGUUUUCGGUUAUGCGCGUAUCGACUUACUUACGAGUCUUUGGUUUUCGUACUCCUAAAUCAAUGUGAGACUAAAUAUCUUUAUGAUAUAGUAUAAGAAAUAAAAAUCAUGUAAUUGUAAGCACAAUUUAUUGAGCAGGAAUCAAGUUUUAUGGCCAAACCCAGCAGAGUUCCUUCUGGUUUCCUUUCUGUUUCAGCUCUCCUCCAUGUCGUCUCCUACCUUUCUCCCAUCUCUUGGAUCGAAGUCUAAUUAGCUGUGUGUGGUCGGAGUAAUCAUAUGCAUCCAAACGUUGCUUUAUGUAAAGCUAUUAUUGGCUUUGGUAUAGGAGACACUAACAGACGAACAUAAAUAAGAGACUCGGCAUUCGCUGCUCGUCUACGCUACGAGCGGGGGCGGCGCUUGAGGGGGUGCUUCGUAAAUUACCACUCGAUUUCCGGCAGGCGACGGUGGCACGUAAGGCCUCCUCGAGGCUUGAGACGCUGUCAUGGUAGUGGGGCUUGGGAUGGGAUCGUCCGACUCCCCGCAUCGUCCAGCUCUGGCUAAUGCCUUCCUGGGAGUACCUGCAAGAUCGCAGCAUCCAAACCUUGCUUUCAGAACACGAAUCUGUAGAUCUAACAUCGACCGGAAGAAAUCUAGUUUUUGCCUCGGAAAAGGAGGAGACAAAAGAAGGAAGAAAUUGGAGUGCUGAGUGUAUGCGCACAGGAGAAGGAGAUGGGAGGAUGGCAUCCGAGCAGGAGGAUGGUGAGAAGAAUGACGACGACGAUCUGUUUCGUGGAUUCAGCCAUAGCAACAAGAGGCAGAAAGAAAGAUAGAUCGAGCGAUCGAUCGAUCUCUAUACUUGAUAUCGGUCGAAGGAGAUAAUUGGAAUGGAUGAUUGAAUUGGAUGGUUCUUGUGAAGACCGCCAGCUCACUGUCUCUCGGAAGCUGGUGAGACGGCCGCAAUUGAAGAAACUGGAGGUCGUUGACUUUGACUUUGACGUUGACUUCCAGUAAACAGGUUGGCAUGGGAGAUGGGAACCAUAUAUCAACUAGAGGAUGGAAGGACAUUAAGGUCUUGCCAAAUUGGUAGCAGUCACUAUUUGAUUUUGGUCUGAAUAUAUCUUUAUCUUACAAUAAUAAAAAAUUUAUUGUGGAUUUAUAUAACUAUCGUUAAAAAUAAUAAUUUAUAUAACAAUAAAAAUUAUCAUCCCAAGAGUUAAUAAUCGUUAUGCCGAUCACCUCGAUAAUUAUUAUACCACAUCGAAUAUAACGAGGAUAUUAUCAUAUCAUCAGUCGCCUCAAUGAUUAUUUUGACUAACUUGACGAUUUUUUUUUCUAAAUAAUUAUAUUUUAAAUCGUAAACGAUUAGAAACUCAUGACUAUAAAUAGUUAUUCAUCUUAUUUCUCAUAAUCUUUUCGAAUCCUAAAAUUAUUUUAGUUCGGACACGUUACUAACUUGAGCAACGAAGAAAUCAAGAACACUGAUUUUGAUGAAAAACACUCUUUUGAAGGCCGUGGUCACUACAAAACAGUCCACAGCUUCUCACUGUGUUAUUAUCAUCAAGCAUAGUUGACAUACAUAUGUAUACAUACAUCACAACUGGUACGGACCUGUUAGAUAAUACAUUGAGCAGCAGAAAUAUCUAUAAGGUUAAUCGACAGAACCAUGAGCAACAUUGUAGCAGUGGAUGUGGCGUCAAUUAUUGAUGAGCUUGUAAGGAGGCUUGUUGAGAGCUGGGGAAGGAUCAUAUGCUCCAUAGUCAUUGGUCUUAACAUUAUCCUUGGAUGAACUCUGCAUGUGUAUAUAGAUAUGAUCACAGUAAGUUCUAGAGUUAAUAAUAUAUACAAGUCAGACACCAAUUUAAUCUAAAU